This 51387-nucleotide long non-coding RNA is filed under the name Medicago truncatula (barrel medic). RNAcentral describes it as "long non-coding RNA (MTRU_LNC003591)". The stretch from base 31259 to 31537 matches the Rfam family "MIR2655 microRNA precursor family". Lineage: Eukaryota; Viridiplantae; Streptophyta; Magnoliopsida; Fabales; Fabaceae. The record is from RNAcentral.
UUUUUUGGAAAAGCUUAUCAUCGUUACAAAUACAUAGUCUUAUGCAAAUUUAUACUAUAUAGUGGCAAGAUAGAUAAUACACAACACCGGAAACUGCUGCCCUCUAUGUAUGCCUUUUUUUAAUAUCAACGCAACAUUAUUUUUAUUCAUGAAAUAUAUUACUAAGAAAGAGUGUAUGGUGCAUGAUGAUAUCAUUACGAUUAGUUUCGAGUUUCGUCCUCAGUUUCCACGGCACCAUGACCACCGUGACCACGUCUACCGUGGUUGUGACCACCUCCACCACCAUUGUAACCCUCUCCGCCAUGGUUGUAAACAUGUCCACCUUUUUCAUGAACAUCACCAUCACCGUUGUUAGAAUCAUCACCGUUGUUAGAAUCACCACCGUUGUUAGAACCACCAACAUAGCCUCCAUCUUUGCCAUAAUUUAAGUCAGUCUGUUCAACACUAUCUGAAAAAACAAUAUAUAUUAAUCAUUAUAUCAUUAGAUAAUUAAAAAGGUUUGCUAAAUUAGAUAUAAAAAAAAUAUGGUCCAAGUUAGCAAAUAUGCACAUUUUUAUUUGGACAAAAAUAUCCUUCAUUUUUAUUAUUAAAAACUAAUAGUUUGAGGGUUACUUUAAUAUUUUUAUUUAAAACAUAUUUGUUACCCGACACCAAUUGCUAACUUAGACCCACUUUUAUUUUAUUACAAAUAAAUUAAGGGUCACUUUAGUACUUUUCAUUAAAACAUAUAUUUGUUAACUUGCAUCAAUUUGCUAACUUAGACCCACCUUUAUUUUAUAACAAAUAGCUUGAAGGAUAUUUAAUAUACUAUCACUUACAUUAAUUUAGUUUACACUAGUGGAUAUUUGCUAACUUGGAUCAAAUUGCACCGAUGUGAUAUAAUAUUUGAAUAAUUUACACUGCUUAAAAACUUCUUAUUGAAUAUAGAAUUAUAGCAAAAAAAAAUUUAAUAAAGAAUUAUAGCAAAUUUUAUAAGACUCACAAUUGAAUAUAUAAUUAUAUCAUAUGGAUCAUCUCUGUAAGUUAUAUAUGAAGCAAAUUUGAAAUCGUUUUUUAUAUAACAUUGAAGUGCAUGAAGAUUAACGUUUACAUAGAAAUGAAUUAAUUAAAAUGUAUAAAAUACAUAAUUAAGUAUAAAAGAAUUAUCCUUUAAAAAAGUAGAAAUGAAUUAAAAACAUAUGUCUAAAACGCUCACCCCAAUUAGGAUCCGUGGAAGUUUCGGAUAUCACUGAGGAAAUAAGAACCAUAGCCAAGAGGCCUAGCAUAAGGAUUGCCUUUUUUGAAACCAUUGUUCAAUAUCUGUUCAAAUUUGAUAUUUGGUAGUGAACGAUGAGAAAAGUAGCAAGAAGUGUGCUCUAUAUAUAAUGGAGGGAAGGAGUGAGAUGAUGUAGGGACAUUCACUUGCUAGUUGAGAAGGUAGCUAGUGUGUAAUAAUUCAUUGCUUUUUAGUUUCAUAAUGUACAUGGUCUAUAAUAUCGACCAGAUACAUCUUUUAUGCAAUUAAUCUAAAAAAUAAAAUUUUAUGUAUAAUAAUAAUCGGAUGAUGUAUAUAUUUAUAAAUUUUUAACUAAAAUAAUUGUUUGAUGAUUUUAAUAUCAUUUGUUUUGACUACUUCCUUUCUUUCAAAAUAAGUGAUCUAGUUGAUUGUUUUAAGCAAUUUAUAUAUGUAUAAACAAAAAAAUAUAUAAAAUUUGAUUUUUAAAAAUAUUUGUUGAAACAAAUCUAAAAAUAUCUUAUAUACUGAUAUUUCUCUUUAUAUGGUAGUAGAAAAAGAUUAUCAAAUAUAUUAUGUGAAUUGUGAAUAAUAGAGAAUCACUUAUUUCAUAAUAGAGAGAGUUGUAAAGACCAAAGGCUAUGAAAAAUUGAAAAUGGUGAUGAGGUAUGGCUACUUUCUAUUGGCUGAAAGUGACAUUUUGAAAGCAUACUAUUGGUUCAUACUAGCUAUCUCAUCCCAUGGAGAUACAUGCAUUCAACUUUAUCCAGACACAUUCAUAAUAUGUUUUCUAUAAGUAAUUUUAUUUUUUUUAGCAAAAGAGUAUUACGGAGGUACACUCUAUACUUGAACAUUCACUUAUUAUAUGUUUUCUAUAAUAAUUAAUAAGUGAACUCUAACCAAUAAACUCUACUUGAACAAAAACAAAAAACAUUUUCCUUAAUCAUAUUAUCUCCAUCAAUCUCAUUUUAUUAUUCGCCACUUUGAAUAUACUAUAUACAGAUACACUAAUAUUAUAGCCAUUCUCUAAAGGCUAAUUAUUUCUAUUCUUUUGGUGUUUUUAAGUAAAUUAGCUUUCGUGCUAGUAGCAUUCCAUUUAGCAUGUAAGUAAUUAUACCGGUGUAUGAGAACAAUUUCGUUUUUGACACUAUGCAUAUCUUGCGGUAUUAUGCUUUAAAAAUUUGCUUACAAAAAAAUAUUAAUAGCUAAUAAUGAUAUUUAUUAAAACCGAUAUUCUACUUUUUUUUUCAUUUCUCAUGUAUUUUUUUUAAUUUUCGUGAAAUCAUCAAAAAAAUAUGCUUUAAUUUGUGGGACAAAAAGAGCACUAGAUGAAAAAUAGGUUUUUGCAGCGUCCAAAAGCCUCCUCAAAAAACCUCCCUGAAAUAGGUUCAAGUUCAACCAUCCCGCUUUUAAACCUCCUCAAGCGUUUGCAUUUUUUUUAUGUUUUCAUAAUUAGUGUGAAAAAUAUAAAAAUAAUAAAUUUAAUAAAAAUUAGAUAUAUUAAAACAAAAAUUGUAGUAAGAGAGAAUUAAAAAACAACUUAAAAAUAAAAAAUGGUAAAACAAAUAUUUUAUAGUAAUUUAAAAUUAAAUAUAGAUUAAAUUUAAAAAGGGUUAAAUAUGUUUUUAAUCUCUACAAUAUCACAGAAUUUCUAGUUUAGUUCCUACUCCCUCCGUCCUAAUUUAUAAACAAAAAACACAAAUUCACACUUAUUAAGAAAACAAAAACAUAGUAGUUUGAGAUAUAAUUUUUUGUGUUUUUAUUGGAAUAAGUUUCAUGGAAAAAAAAUUGUGUAGAUUAAAUUUUUUGUGCCUUUAGAUGAAAAAAAAAUAUUGGAUGAUGAUUAAAAUAAAUUAGUUAGAUGAGAUGAGAGAGAAUGAAUGAGCCAUAGGUCAGACUCCCCUAACCAAGAACAAUGCCCAAAAGAGACAAAGCCAUCAUAGACCCGUACCUAGCAUAAAGGACAUCCCACCACAUAAUCAGGCUCUCCAAAAUAAUCAUCCAACAUUACUUACAAGCAUACUUAUAAAAUUCAAAAGAGGAAAAAAUACAAAAUACUUAUAAAUAAAUUCUCAUGAAUAAAGAAAAAUGAAAAAUAUUAUAUAGUUCACCCGUUUUGGUAUUAGAGGAAGUCUCAGUUAAGACCCUCGCUGAAACCCUAGAGGAAAUAAGAACCAUAGCAAAUAGGCCUAGAAUGAGGAUUGCUUUUUUUUGAAUCCAUUGUACUCAAGAGUAUAAAUAAACUACACAAAUCGGUAUUACAAAAGGGAUAUUUGGUAGUGAACAAUAAAAGAGAAUGUGCUCUAUAUGUAGUGGAGGUUGGGAGAUCAAUACUUGGUAGUUGGGAAGGUGGAAUAGUGCUCUAUAUUAAUUCAUUCUUAUCUUCAAAUUCAGAACUGUUUGUUUGUUAGUAAUUUUGAAACCAUUCAUUUUGAGUAUUAAGAAUCGGAGGCUACUUAAUUCGUUGAAAAAAUGAAGCAGUUAUUGUCUAUGCCAAGCCUACUUAAUUCGUUGAAAAUAACAGUAUUGAAAGUAUUGAAAAUAACAGUAUUGAAAAUAACAGUAUCAACCACAUACAUCAUUAAAUAAAUAAACCUAAAAAAUGAAUUUUGUUUAUAUUUUGAUACGGAGUGAGUACUUUUAAUUUUGAAACCAUUCAUUUUGAUAUUUGAGUGGUGAAGGUACAUUCCGAAUAAACACUCUAAACUCUAAACUUUUUUAUAACUUCAACAAAUGAUCUAUCUAUCACUCAAAUUAAAUUUUUAAGGGGUUCUAAAUUGACUAGUUUAAGUGUGAAGAACAAGAAACAUAUGAAUAUGCAAACUAAAAUGCAACAACAUAUUGAACAAGACUUUAAGCUCGGACAUGAGUAAAAAAUACACAACUAAAGGGUUCAAACUCACAUAUUUACUAGGUUAUUGUGAAUUUGGACUCAAAUCUUAAAAAAAAAAAAAAAUAGAUGUGAAGAGCAUAUAUCAAUGACAACCAACAAUCAAACAUUCUCAAGUUACACAACAUAUUUAAAUAUGUGUAAAGUAAAGCCACAAUCAAAGCAUGGAAUAAAGAUAAAAGAGAAGAGAAAUCAACAUAGGAAUACUAUUGUUUACCCAAUUUGCAUUGGUCCAAGAAUGAGCCACAUUUUGGGGAGAGAAAAUAUCUUCAAUCCACUAUCAAUGAUUCAUUGGAAAGAGAUACAGAGAGUUACAUGAAAUUAACUUCAACAAGAUCUUCGAGAGCAAACUUAAUUUCUACUAUUUUUCUACGUACACUCUUCCCUUGAACAAGAGAGUUACCAAGUGACCAAAAAAUUUAGCUUCCAAUGUUUUCCAAAAACAUCCCCUAAGAGGAGAUUAGUUUAUGAAUACGUUAUUUAAUUAUUCCAAUGUUUAUGAAUACGUUAUUUAAUUAUUAACUCUUGAAAGGAAGUCUCAAGUCACAACAAUUCGGGCACACCAUUUCGAAAUACACAUAUUCAUAAAAAGAUAGAAAGAGAAAAUAAUUAAAUAACGUAUACUUUUAAAAUAAUUAAGUAUUUCUUUGUGUUCAGUAUACAUCUCAACCAACACCUAUUGAUUCUUGUAUAAAUAAAAAUGGUGUCUAAGCCUAUCGCACAACGGACCCCUCUCAAACUAAUCACCCAACCAAAAUAGUGUCUUAGCUCCAUUGUCCACCACCCUCACCAAAUUGUCCUAGUAUCCUCGCAACCCACCGUUCAUAUUAACUAUGAGUAGUGAUAUAUGUACAACUCUUUGGUACAACUUUCAUGACAACUUUGGUUUUCUCUCUUUUGAUUGGUCAAAAAUACUAGAGAGAGAAAAAGGAAGAGAGAUAAUAAGAAGAUAAUGUGAGUAUGUGAGAGAAAGUUGUCAAAAAAUUGUUAGAAAAUGGUUGUACAAAUAUCAUUUCUCAUUAACUAUUAUUCAUCAAACUACAUGUUAUUUCUAAGAAAAAAUAAAAAAAUUAGUUUUUAUAUAUAUCUUUUAUUUGGCCAAUUAGCCUAAUGAAUAAAAUUCCACCCUAUUAAAAUGAAAAAAUGGAGAAGGUAGGAAAUUCAACCCCUAUAUAUAUAAUAUAAUAUCCAUGCCAACUGAAUAUGAAAGUCUUUUGCCAAUAUAUAUAUAAAUUAAUAUUCAACUACCUAACAUGUAUGAUUUCUCGAUAAAACAAUAUAUUAACAAAAUAUUAUAGUUUAUUUCAUUUAUUCUUGAUGAUGAGAAAUCAAUAAUAACAUUUUUAUUUAUUUAUAGAGAUAAUAUAAUAUCUCUAAACUAACAUAUAACUUAUUAAUUCAUCUUAAAUUUUAACUUAAAAUACAAUUCAUCAAUCUCAUUAAUAUUAUAGCAUGAGUCAUUAUACUAGUUUUUUUUUUUUUUUUAGUAAAGGUCAUUAUUGUGUAACCAAAAAAUAAAAGAAAAUAUUCUAUAUUAAAAUUUCAGAGCUGCCGUUCCUGUCACAAUUAAUUAAUUUUUCUUUUUAUAUUUUGAUAAUUUCAGAACUCCUUAAGUUCAAAUUGACAGCGAUGAACGAUAAUGAAAGACGCCCACUUAUUUUGAAUUUUUCAUACAAAUGUGUGGCUAGACGUGGCCAUAUAAUUUGUAUUCAUGCGUACCCAUCCGAACCCCGUUUCGAAUAUGAUUUGGACAACUUGAAUUGGAGCUAGACUUGGUUAAACAUAACCAUAAAUCUUUUAUCUAGAUACACACUCAUUAAUAACAAAAAGUAAAGGAGGAAAAAAUAAAUUUUAUUAUUAUUGAAAUUAAUGAAUAAAGUGUCGUGACGGAUUCAGAAAUGUUGACUUGUGGAAACAAAACUUUAUAUAAUACUCCCUCCGGUCCUAUUUACAAGAGAAAUUUGACUUUUUAAAUACAUUGAAUAAUGUAUGUAUCUAGUCAAGAACCUAAUCCAAAUACAUAAAUUAUUUAAUGUAUCUAAAAAGUAAAUUGUUUCUUAUAAAUAGGACCAGAGGGAGUAAAUAUUUAAAGAAAAUUUUUAAUAAUGCAAAAGUGAUAUAAUAAUAACAUCAUUAUCAUUGAGAAAAAUGCUCAAUAUUUAGAAAAAUUAAAGACUCGUCAACAUCUACAAAUUAAAAUUGUUUUUACGUGUCUUUAUAUUCAAAAAAUAUGGUAGAAAUUAAAUUUCAUCUCAAAUGCAUUUACGCAUUCGAUUUUAUGAAAUUCAUGAACAAAACUUUUUUUUAUGGUAUAAAUUUUAAUUUAAUUGAGGCAAUCUAUUAUUUUAAGAGAGAGCAACCAUUAAAAUAUAAAAAAUUUAACAAAUAUAACCAGAAGAGUAGUGGGGGCAGUUUCCCCCAUACCACUCUACCUAGAAUCGUGGUUGAUGAUGUGAUUGUUAAUGUGGUGUGCCUAAAUGCAAAAUAUUUAUUUUUGUUAUCAAGUAAGUAUUGACUCGGUUCGUAUUUUUUACGAUUUCAAAAGACGGUUGUGGCCUCGCCCGUAUCAAAAUUAUAUUAUUACCUCUCUUAAAUUAUAAACUCAUAAACAAAUUCCUAAAUUACAUUCAUACAUUAACUUUUAUUUUUAAGCUCAACCUUAAACAAGUCAUUUCCUCUACUUUUUUUUUUUAGAAAACCAUAUUGUUGAAACAACAUAGUUUUGAGCUUUUUUACUUAUUCUUAAUAGAAAAAAAGAUCAAAUGCCACUUUUGAUCCUUUUAGUUUAACAGAAUUCUCAAGUUAGUCCUUUAAAUUUCGAAAGUUUCAAUUAGGUUCUUUUGGUUUGACAUAAUUCUCAAGUUAGUCCUUUAAGUUUCAAAUAGGUCCUUUUAGUUGAUAAAUUAUUUCACUGUUACCGCUGCUGUCAGUCUCUGUUUAACUAAUGUUAAUGUAGCUGUAAGUUGUUGACUUGAAUCGAAAUGCUGCCUUUUAAUAGCUCGAGGGUGCAUGUCUAAACGCUACGUUUAAUGGUCACAAAUGAUCAUUUAUAGUGCUAAUAAGACAGCUAUUUACAACAAUAAAUGUCUUUCUAGCACUAUUAAACGACAUUUAUAAUACUAGAAUGAUCAUUUGUGACGAUUAAACGUAAUGUUUUGACUCACCGGAGCUUUUAAAAGACAACGUUUUGAUUCAAGUCAACAACUUAACGGCUACAUCAGCAUCAGCUAAUUAUUAACUGACAUGAGGGGGGUAACGGUGAAAUAGUUUAUCAACUAAAAGGACCUAUUUGAAACUUUUGAAACUUAAAGGACUAACUUGAAAAUUAUGUCAAACUAAAAGGACCUAAUUGAAACUUUUGAAACGUAAAGGACUAACUUGAGAAUUAUGUCAAACUAAAAAGACCAAACGUCAUAUUUGGCCUACAAAAAGUACAAAAGUUCACGUGAGAGAAUCGAACAACCCAAAAUGUUUUGUGAACCCUAUUUCUUGAUGAAUCCACGUGAUACACAACUCAGCAAGCCAUCAGAGCAUGCCUCAACGGAGAAAAACGCCGAUAUCUGCAUGGAAACCAACCCCAAAAGGGGUUAUCUUCCAAAAACUACCAGCACAAGGUCAUAGGUGUUCUGGAAUGAGGAUAAUGCGUAGGGGCAGCGCCUCUCAUCGCACCACCGCGCUAGCCGCUACAUCUAAAAGGAACAAAUUUGAAUGAGGGGAAGGCGUUGGAGAGGUGGUCGUUCAAGAGAGAAGCGAGAGAGUACUUUUUGAGAGAGAUAAGGGAGCAUCCUCCUAUCUUCCUAAAGUUACAUGCAUUUCUUAAUUUUGUCUAACAUCCAAUUUACCCUCUAUACCGUAGAUUUUUUUAAAAUACUCCCUCCGGUCCUAUUUACAAGAUAAAGUUGAUUUUUUUGAUACAUUGAAUAAUGUAUGUAUCUAGUCAAGAACCUAAACUAAAUACAUAAAUUAUUUUAUGUAUCUAAAAAGUAAAUUGUCUCUUGUAAAUAGGUCCGAAGGGAGUAUUUACUUUUUUUUGAACAAAGUAAAAUGAGACAUAUAUUAUAAACAAUGGCGAUUUACCGUGCACAAGACAUGCAAAAGGUAAACCGACCAAUCAAAAUACAACAGUAGGGUGCUAAUUUAGAGUAACACCGUAAAAAAGUUACAAAAAAACUACACAAAAACACCCAUGCAGGGAAGUGGGUGUUUCCACCAGUCAUAAUAAGAAUAAAUAAAAGAUAUAUGCGAUGAUUUCAGCCACAUAAACGAGUUCAGCUUCACUUUUUCAGCUAAAGAAGAAGGAUCACAAACCGUUUCUUGGAACACACGGUUAUUUCUUUCCUUCCAAAUGACCCAAGCAGAAGCGAACCAUAUUACUUUCAGAUAAUAAUGAGUGGCUCUAGGAAAGCCGGCCAAAUUAGAAAAUUGUGUAAAAUGCCGCCGAAUAUCACCUGGAAACACCACAGAUAAACCUAACCAAUGCAAAAUAUGAUCCCAAAGCGUACUAAAAAUAUUACAGACACAAAACAAGUGAUUUGCGGUUUCAUAGGCACCACAACCUGACACACAAACCGAGUUAGCUAACAGAAGAACACGCCGAUGAACCAAGUUGUCUCUAGUGGGAAGUCUAUUCCGAAAAAGGCGCCACACAAAUAGUGACACCUUAGAGGGUAUGCUCUUAUGCCAAACAUCUUCAACCAGAGUCUUAUCCACCACAUUACCAUUAUCAGUGAGAAAACGAUAAGCUUCCCGUACCGUAUAACCACGGAUAGGAUCUAACAACCAAAUCCAAGAGUCAUGAACAUUAACCUGCAAAACGACAUUAGAAAGUAACAUAGAACAUUCCUUCACACUUUCCUCCUCCCACGCCAAAAGUCUCCGGCUCCACUCCCACCCCCACCUCCAACCUCCCAACCGUCCCUACUCAUGUCCUCCACCGUACACUCUUUGCGUAAAAACAAAUCAAAAAGACGGGGGAAUUUACAACAUAAAGGUGUAUCCCCCAACCAAUUAUCAUACCAAAAUAAAGUAUCCCUACCAUCUCCUACCCUCCUACGAAUGUUGUCAUCAAACCACCUCCCAACACCCUCACCUAACCCCUCCCUAAUCCUACACACUGACCGCCACCACGGAGAAUCGAGGUGUCCUCCCUCCUCCAACCGUCCCCCUAUCUCACCAUAGCGGGCUUUAAGUACUUUAUACCACAUCCCCUCCUUUUCAUUCAACAUCCUCCAACACCACUUCCGCACCAACGCCAAAUUAAAAGCUCCCAUCCUCCUCACCCCCAACCCUCCGUGCUCCUUUGGAGUACAAAUCGACUCCCAAUUUAUCCAAGCAAUUUUCCUAGAGUCCUCACCCCCACCCCAAAAAAAAAAUUAAAAAUAGAUUCAAUAGAGGAAAUUAUACCUGCGGGGGCUUUGAAAAAGGAAAGAAAGUAAACAGGAAUGGAAGACAGAACAGAUUUCAGAAGAACCAAGCGGCCGCCAAAAGAAAGGAAUUUAUUACUCCACAAGGACAGGCGCGAAACAAUUCGAUCGACAACAGGUUUCCAAAAACUAAGUUUCCUUGGAUCACCACCAAUAGACAACCCUAAAUAGACAAAAUGGAUAGUUCCCCUUCGACAAUUCAUAACCAACGCCGCUUCAGUCAACCACGAAUCCGAAACAUUCACACCCGUCAACAUGCUUUUAAGAAAAUUUACCUUCAACCCCGAAAUCUUUUCAAAUAAUAGCAAGACGGACCUCAUGGUUCUGACGUUCAACCAACUUUUCUCUCCAAUAAUAAGGGUGUCAUCCGCAAACUGCAAAUGAGUUAAAUAAACAUCACCUGAUCGACCAACUUUGUACCCUGAAAACAUAUUAGCAUCAACCACCGCUUUCAUCAACACAUUGAAACCUUCUGUAACCAACAAAAAAAGAAAAGGUGAUAAAGGAUCUCCUUGUCGAAGGCCCCUCUCAAUAGGAAACUCAUUCGCCGGGCUACCAUUAACCAAAACUGAUGUUGUUGCUGUCCCAACACAUUCAUGAAUCCACUUCCGCCAGAGUCUCGGAAAAUUCAUAUUCUCCAUUACCAUGUCCAGAUACCUCAGAUCAACUGAAUCAUACGCCUUUUCGAAGUCAACUUUAAACAACAACAGUUCUUUAUUCAUCCUCUUAGCUUCAUCCACCGCUUCGUUAGCUAUCAAAAUACUGUCAAGAAUCUGUUUCCCCUGAAUAAAAGCCGACUGUGACUCUGACACAACAUUACCCACUACUAAACGGAGACGAUUGGCGAGGACUUUAGCUAGCACCUUAUACAGACAGCCCACUANAGAGAUAGGCCGAAAAUCAUGGAGUCUUUGCGGACUAUUAACUUUUGGAAUUAAAGCUAUAAAAGUUGAGUUUAUACCUUUUGUAAGUUUCCCAUUCCGAUGGAAAUCUACCAAAAACCUCAUAAAGUCAUCUUGAAGCAAAUCCCAAAAUUGUUUGAUGAAACCAAAAUUGAUGCCAUCAGGCCCUGGGCUUUUGAAGCUAUCACAAUCCCACACCGCCUGUUUCACCUCCUCAACUGAAAAAGGUUUUGUCAAAUUCCCAACCUGAACACCAGUUAAUUUUCGAAAAAGAAGAUUCUCCACACCCCACCGAUUAGCCGCACUUGAUUUAAAGUGAGAAGAGAAAUGAUUAAAGACCGCAUUCCGAAUAGCUUGAACACAUUCCAAAUUAACCCCAUCGACAGACACACACCUAAUAGCAUUGUGACGCCGUUUAGCAGACAUAACUCCAUGAAUUUUUUUUGAAUUUGCAUCUCCUUCCUUCAACCACUGCAAUCGAGAAUUUUGCCAGUGUACACUAGUCUGAGUUCGAGCCAAAGAAUGGAGAUUCACAGAUAAAUCACGUAAUUCCAGCACCUCAUUUUCCUGAAGUUCCGACAACUCUGCCUUUGUAUCUAAAAUGGAUAAUUUAUUUUUUACCUCCGACUUCCUUCCAUCUAAAUUCUUAAUAUGCUAACACUUUAGGUGAAAAAAAAGAUUAUACUUUUAUGUUAAAAAAUAAUUUAAAAAUAUUUUUACAUUGUCAAUUAAUAAAGUAAAAAUAUUAAAAUUUGAUUAAAAUUAUUUUUAAAUUCAUAUACAUGAUUGCUUGUGAUUAUUUAAAAAUAGUAAAAAAAUAAUAGUUCAACCGUAUAGUGAAAUUAAACUAAAAAAAAGGUGUACCGCAAUAAUUUCAUUCUCCACCUUUUAUUGAUUUUGUUUUUUCCGGCCCCUCCCACCAUUUAUUUCUGGCUCCACCCGACAAUCAAUUUGUGUCGAGUGUUUAAUCUACACAAUUUUUUUUAUUAUCUACAUUUAUUUAUUUUUUAUUUCAUUAUUAUUUAUCAGUUAAUAAAUACUUCCUUCGGUGUCCCCGUGAGCUUAGCUCAGUUGGUAGGAACAAAUGCAUAAUAUAUGCAGGGGCCAAGGUUCGAACCUCAGAUACACUACUUCUUCACAUUAAAUAUGUGUGAGCUCCAGCCACUAGGCUACCUGACCAAAAAAAAAAAAUACUCCCUCCGAACAUACUUAUAAGAAAUACUAGAAAUCCGACCCGUGCUGACGUCAUAUAACAAUAAAUCAUAAAUCAUACAAAUAGAAGAAAUUUAAUUCCGUUCAAUCAUACAAAGUACACGAUUUAGGAUACAUUCCAAGUCAUACAUAUUAAUAGAAGAACUUUAAUUUCGUUCCAUCAUACAAAGUACACAAUUUAGGAUACAUUACAAAAAACUUCAUGAUAAACAACAUUAGACAUUACAUUAGUGUCUUCACGAUCAUCACAAUUUUGUUUGUUUUUUGGAAACUAAUGCUUCUAAGUUGCAAAGAAAUUGAUGGUUCUUAUCUUACUAUUAUUUUGUUCCCAAUUUGUAAGGUGUUCAACUAAUCAAGCUCAAACCUUAUAAGAGUGAGGUUCAUGGUGUUUUGUUAAAACUUGAAUAUGCAAUUAACAAUGACGGCCCUUUUAUGGUGGUGUUAUUUUAUUAAUAUUUUGACGGUGAUUUAUCAUAGUAAGUGCAACAGAGUGUGAUAUAUAUAUAUAUAUAUAUAUGAGGAUGUAUACUAUGAGAAUGAGUAUUUUAUAUGAGAAUGAUGAGAAUAAUUAUCAAUCAUCAGAUUAAAAAUAAAAGGUUGCGAUUAAAAAUUCUUAUUUAAACAACCCAUGUGCCUCACUUACACUUAGUGUAUCCACAAUACUCAUUCAGCUACCCAUUCAUCGCUUCAUCUUCUUCAAAAUCUCCAUUUUCUGCAACUUUUUCAUCUAUCAAAUCUUCAUUGUAAUUUCUUUCUGCAAACAAAUCCAUAGAAACAUCUCUUUCAUCAACCCAAACAACAUUUUUUGUGUUUGAGAUGUGAAUUGAGGUUUUUGUUUGUUUUUCAAUCAACUUCAAUUAAGUGUAUUCCUGUUUCGAAUGAAUUUCAAAUUUUUGAUUUCAAUCGGAACUCUUGUUUUUGGAUUUUCAAACUGUUGUAUUUGGAUUUCCAAAAUCUAUUAUCUACCGAAGUUGUUACUAGGUUGAGUCGCGACCAGGUCGCUCUCUUUAAGACGUUUCGCGGCACUGCCCAAAAUUGUGCAAGGCAGACUAUCAACCACGCCGCCUCCAGAAUAAAACAAGCCCAGCUACUACUGUUUGAUUAACUAAUGCACUGUAGAAAAUCGUUCGAGAAUUACACCUCCAAAUAUGGUGCUAAGACCACUCUUUAAUACUGAAACCACUUUAAUAUGGUAUUGUUACCACUCUGUUAUGGUGCUGAGACCACUCAAAUAUGGUAUUAACACCAUUCUAACUUUAAGUUCUCCAAACUAUCAAUAUGGUACUACGACCACUCAAAUAUGGUGAUACCACCAUUUCUCCUCAAAUAGAAAAAUAUUGAAAUACUUUUUAUAUAUACCCUUAAGAUCAUUAUUAAUUCCGACGGAACAUUGUUAUUCCAAAUAGGGACUAUGAUCUUAAAAGUACUCUUUAUUCUGAAGGGACAUAUAUUAUCGAAGAGAUUAUGUUUUAAGACCAUUCUUAAUUCCGAAGGGACAUUAAACCGAAAAGGGACUAUGGUCUUAAGAACAGUCUUAAUUCCGAAGGGACAGAAAGGAGUAGAAAAAGGAGAAUGACUUGUCAACACAAGUCGAAUGAGGGAGAAGAGAGGAAAAACACAGAAAACAUCAACUGUGAAUUUCGGUGUGUUUUUGAACUAAGUGGAGUCCUCUAUUUAUAUAGAGAUUCUGUAACUGUUUUAGCAAAAAUUGCGACAACAGUUACUCUAAUGGAUAAGAUUAAAAUGAAGUUUAUCCAUUAAUCAGUUCAACAACACUUGUGAAUAGGAUGAAAAGAAACAAAUCCACAAAAGUGGAGGAAACAAACUAUUGGAUUUGAAUGAAGGAAAUAUAAUAAUAAUUAAAUUAUUAUUCUUAUCACAACCACCAUAAGCUAAAUUUAUGUAAAGUGAUAUUCUCGAAUAAAUUAAUAAUUAAUAUUAUUUUUAUCAUUACCAAGUAUUUAAAAUUAAAUACCACAAUUUAAGCACUACUAAUGUGUGUGUUCUAUUUUAUGUGAGACCCCCACACUCUAUUUUUUCAAUUCACACAACAUUAGAUCAUAGUAUAAUUACUUGGUGUUUAAUCUUCCAAUUUUUUAUCCAACAUCACAUCAAUGUUCCAACAAUUCCCCACUUGAAUUUUAAAAAUGGUUUCAAUAAUAACGUCAAAACGUUUCUAUAAGGUUGCUAAUAAACAAAGGUGUCGCCUACAACUUGAACCUUUGCAUAGCGGAUAAUAUUCUGAUUUAACAAGAGUUGCUUACAGCAUUGAACUCUAUCUCAGACAUAGAACCCACACACAAACCUUUUCCUAAGGUGUAUUCUAAAAGCUCGUGCGUUUUAUGGCCUUGCACGUCUAUCCCGGUUUUAACGAACGUUCUAGGUAUUCUGCCCCGAAUACCAUAGGAAUCGGCCUAAGUUCCACAUUCGUAUAGGUGAGUCUAUCAAGAGUACUCCUGUAGCUAGGUACUCCACUCCACAUAGAGUAUAGAUCUCAUUAAGAGUUUCUAUUAUCUCAUCCUUAUGUCACUGCAGGAAUCAUGCUUUCUUACUUUUCUCAUGCAUGUUCUUUCACUCAUGACUUGUCAUUACCCAUUGAACCUAUUUCUUGGGAUCUCCAAUCAUGUAGGUCGGGUUACCAUUACUAGUGACCUUUGGGCAUUAGUCCCAUAUUCCUAUUGGAUGUGUUUAGGACUUUUUUUCUAGUAAUUCCUUUCGUCAAAGGAUUGACUAAUUCUUUAUUUGUACGUGCACGAUAUACUUUAACCGUUCCUUUUAGAGCUCUCUAAUUAUUCUGUGUUCGUGCCUUAAUUAUCGUUUCUCACCAUUGUGGUAAUGAUUCUCAAUUUUGUAAUAGAUGCAAACUAUCACAAUAAAUUAACACUUCGGACAACGGUUUCACCCACUGAGGGUUCUUAGCUAGCAAGCAUCUUAUCAACUUGCUUCUUCACUAGUUUUCUCUAGUGUUCUCAUCUCAGAAUCAUUCCAUAAUAUCAUUUGUUUCAACAAAUAACUCCUCCAGUGAUGCUCAAUUGGCAGUCACUGGUCGCUUUGAGACUCAUCUGAAGGAUGUUCAAUUUUUUUUUUUAUCUUGUACUACUCAUGUACAAUAUGAUACUUCUCAUUUGUAUCUUGUAACAUUCAAGUACAAUAGGAUACUUCUCAUAAUGUAAUCCUAGAGUCAUAAUCUUCUUAAGGCACCUCAUGACUCUUUCAAUAGCAUGACAAUGCUUCUCAUCUGUCUACUAGUAAACUUGAACAAAAGUCUUACGACGUGGCCAAUGUCGAGUCUAAUACAUUCAAUGGCAUAUAUAAAGACUGCCAAUGAUGCUUACCCUCAAGUGUUCUUGAAAAGCUUUACACUUGCAAGUUUAUAGUCAAAGAAUUACAUUUCCUUAAGAUAUUCUCAACUUUGUGAGAUUCAUCAGAAAAGUUUUCUUUUUUGAUCUAGUAAUCUUGAAACCAAGAAUUACUUCACCUUUGUCUAGGUCUUUCUUAUCAAUGUUGUUGAUAAACAAUGAUUUCACAUAAUUCAUAACAUGAAUCUUUAAACCAAAUAUGAGCAAGUCGUCUUCAUAGAGACAUAUGAUCGUGCAAAUAUUAUUUGUCACUUUCAUUCACUUUAUACUCAUUCGAUAGCAUUAGAAUGUCAAAUUUUUCAUGUCAUUCUUUAAGAGUUUAUUUUUUACCUCACAAAGAAUUAUCUAACUUACAAAACUUGUUUUCUAGUCCAUGAAUCACAAAACCUUCAGGUUGUUUAAUAUAGACUUCUUCUUCUAGUUCACCAUAAAGAAGGCAACUUUCACAUCUAUUUGGAAUACUAUCGAGUUAUGAACGGCGGCAAAAGGGACUAGUACUCUUAUGGAUAUGAUACUAGUGACUGGUGAAUAAGUGUCGAAGAAUACUAUAUUUUUCUGUCUAAAACAUUUGACUACAAGGAGAGCCUUGUAUUCAUUGAACCGUAUCAUCAGGUUUUAGUUCUUUUUCCUAAAAUCCAAAUACAACCGGUUAGUUUGCAACUAUGAGACAAGUCAACCAAGUGUCUUGUUUUGUUAGACUCUAGAAAAUCCAUUUCAUCAUUUAUUGCUUCUUGCCAUAAUUCAGCAUCCAAUAAGGAUAUAGCUUCUUUAAGGCUUAAUGGAUAUUCUUCCAAUGUAUAAACCGAGUUCAUACUCUUUAGCUAUUCUAGCUUUCCUACCUCCUCGAGGUUCUAUAACAUCUGGUACGAUGUUUUCAUAACUAUUUAUGAUUACAUGAAUGUGAUCAAAUAUAGUGCCCCCACUAGUUCUUAAUUUUUAGAAGGGAAUUUAUUUUGCCCCCAAUAAUGUUGUGCUCCCACUAGUGCCCCCACUAUUCUUUAGUUAAAGGGGUAAAUAUAUUUCCAUAGAAAUCGACAUCUUUUAAUUCUAUGAUCACUUUAGCAUUUAAGUCAUAAACUUAUAUGCUUCGCUGUUUAUAGCAUACCUAAUGAAUACACAUUCAUAGGCUCUACUAGUGAGUUCAACUCUCUUGGGAUUCAUAGUCAAAAUAUAGUCCAGACAAUCCCAAGUUAAAAAAUAAGACAAGUUGGAUUGUCUUUUCUUCAAAAAUUUCUUAAUUAGAAUUUUUGUUCUUAGACUUGGGUACUCUAUAAAUUUCAAUUUUCGUUAUAAAAAUUGAACAUAUCAAGCAUAUCAAUUUUAUUUUUCAAAAUUCACAGUCAUCAAUAAAUAUGAUAAAAAUAUCCUUUCAUCAUUUCUACUUUAUGUGCCAUCAAAUUCACACAUAUCAUAAUUUAUUAUGUUUAGAGAUUUAUAUCUCUAAAUUCUGAUUUAUAUGAACUUUUGGUUCAUAUAUCUUGACUGCAAUAAAUAAAAUUGUCUAAUCAUAUAACUUUGGAAUUAAAUCCAAGUUACUCAAGUUUAAAAUUAAACGUUUGUUCACAUGACAAAUUUUGAUAUGUCAAAUAUUAAAAUCACACAACUAAUAAAAUAGAAGGAAAAUUUAUUUUGAACAUACCAUCAAGGACACAUCUUUUCCCACAAUAAUGCAUGAUGCACAAAUCUUUCUUUAAGUUUGAGCUAACUCAGUCUUAUUCAAUAGAAAUCUGAAAUUCAGAUUCUUUCUUAUUUUAAAAGCAUGCAACAAGUUCCAAACCUUAACAUUAGCAUCAAGGGAAAAUGGGUAUUCUAAAUUCUUGCAUUUUAAUAUGCUAACUUGCGACUCUGUAUACCCAACAAUAUGCCAUAAAAGUACCUAUAGCAUUUAUAUAAGGGAACUUCUACGGUACACUCACAAAGUGAGGUGUACCGGUACUCUUGCUCAAUAAUUUUAUAAAUUAACGAUCAUUUUUUGUGAAAUAAAUAACUAUUUAUCAACAUUUAUAUUUUAUAGAACAUUAUUUCAUAAGAAAAAACAUCAUUGCAUUGUUUAUAAGAAUUUUAGUAAUAUUUUUACAUAUUAUCGUAAAAAAAUAAUCAAUGUUCUCGAUUAUGGGUGAUAAAAAUUCAAAAAAUAUUAAUUUUAAUUCGUUGACACUUUUGAUGAAUAAGAUUUAGUUAUUAUAAUUAUAAAUGAUAAAAAAAUAAUUUUUUUUUAUCAAAAAACAACUCAUUUAACUAUUAGUUUAAAGAGUGGAUGUACCGGUACACUCAAAUAUAUUGGAUGUACCAUAGAAUUUCGCUUUUGUAUAAUUCGUUGCAUAAGUAAUAAGUUAUGGCCAUUCUUCUUACUGUUUGAAAAAACUGACAUAGAUUUUUCAAUUCUGGUUACUGUUUUAGUGACAAACUAAACUUGUUUGGUUCUAUAACGAAUAAUUUGUUUUGUAACAAAUUAUAGUCUUAAUCAAAUAUUGUUCGAUUUUUUAUUUUAUUCACGGUAUGAUUUUGAUUUUUGAAAACAAAUUUCAAUCAAAUUCAGAGUCACAUUAGUGAAUUUCUUAGUGUUAUUGUUUAUAACUACAAUCACUUUUUCAGUCAAAAGAUGUAUUUAUAUAGUUUGACACAUUAUUUUUGGAUUUCCAAACUGUUGUAUUUGGAUUUCCAAAUUCUAUUAUCUAACGAAGUUGUUACUAGGUUGAGUCACGACCAGGUCGCUCUCUUUAAGACGUUUUGCGGAACUGCCCAAAAUUGUGCAAGGCAGACUAUCAACCACGCCGCCUCCAGGAUAAAACAAGCCCAGCUACAACUGUUCGAUUAACUACUGCACUGUAGAAAAUCGCUCGAGAAUUACACCUCCAAAUAUGGUUCUAAGACCACUCUUUAAUACUGAAACCACUUUAAUAUGGUAUUGUUACCACUCUGUUAUAGUGUUGAGACCACUCAAAUAUGAUGUUAACACCAUUCUAACUUUAAGUUCUCCAAACUAUCAAUAUGGUAAUACGACAACUCAAAUAUGGUGAUACCACCAUUUCUCCUCAAAUAGAAAAAUAUUAAAAUACUUUUUAUAUAUACCGUUAAGAUCAUUCUUAAUUCCGACGGGACAUUGUUAUUCCAAAUAGGUACUAUGAUCUUAAAAAUACUCUUUAUUCUGAAGGGACAUAUAUUAUCGACGAGACUAUGUUUUAAGACCAUUCUUAAUUCCGAAGGGACAUUAAAACGAAAAGGGACUAUGGUCUUAAGAACACUCUUAAUUCCGAAGGGACAGAAAAGGAGUGAAUAGGCCAAAAACCCCCUGAAAUUGUAACUUUCGUCAAAAAUCCCCCUGAUUUUUAAGAAACUUCAAAAACGCCCCUGAAAUUAUCAAACGUCAGUCAAUUACCCCCCUCCGUUUGUUUUGGCUGUUAAAUGACUAUUUUUUAAUUUCUUUUUGCUUUCUUCAUCUUCUUCCUUCCACUUUUUUCAUCAUCUUCAUCAAUAUUCAUAAAAAAAUCCAGAAAAAUUUUAAGAAACAACAACCAUUAACAACAUCAUCAUUAACAUCACACACUUUAUAAUGAUUCUCUCUCUCUUGUUUGUUACCUUCUUGAAUUAAUCAACAACAACCUUUUGGAAUUCAUCAACAACAAAAUGAAUAAUAGAAAAGAUCAUGAACUUGUUUGAAAAAGAACAAGGUUUAUGAUGAAUAGCAUGGACAACAACAUCAACAGCAACGGUUCUUCUCAUUCUCAUGAUGUUACUGUUCCAUCAUCACUCAUGUCUCCUCUUCAGAAUCAAUCACUUUUUAACCCUCAUUCAAAUGGAUUUCUUUUUUGGAGCAGCGAUGAGAUUACCAACAACAAUGAUCAUCAUCAUCAAUUGUCUCUUGAUCUUUCUGCUACGACCCUUUUGGAUAACAAUGAGCAACAAACAAGAGAAGCUAGUAAUGAGAUGAUGAUGAUGUUGUUAAUGGUUGCUGUUUCUUAAUUUUUUUCUGGAUUUUUUAUAAAUAUUCAUGAAGAUGAUGAAAAAAGUGGAAGGAAGAAGAUGAAGAAAGCAAAAAAAUAAAAAAUAGUCAUUUAACAGCCAAAACAAACGGAUGGGGGUAAUUGACUAACGUUUGGCAAUUUCAGGGGGGUUUUUGACGAAAGCUACAAUUUCAAGGGGGUUUUUGCCUAUUUACUCGACAGAAAAGAGUAGAAAAAGGAGAAGGACUUGUCAACACAAGUCGAAGGAGGGAAAAGAGAGGAAAAACACAGGAAGCAUCAACUAUGAAUUUCGGUGUUAAAAUGAAGUUUAUCCAUUAAUCAGUUCAACAACACUUGUGGGUAGGAUGUAAAGAAACAAAUCCACAAAAGUGGAGGAAACAACUAUUGGAUUUGAAUGAAUGAAAUAUAAUAAUAAUUAUAUUAUUAUUCUUAUCACAACCAACAUAAACUAAAUUUAUGAAAAGUGAUAUUCUCGAAUAAAUUAAUAAUUACUAUUAUUUUUAUCAUUACCAAAUAUUUAAAAUUAAAUACCAUAAUUUAAACACUACUAAUGUGUGUGUUCUAUUUUAUGUGGGACCCCCACACUCUAUUUUUUCAAUUCACACAACAUUAGAUUAAAAUAUAAUUACGAUAUUUAAUCUUCCAAUUUUUCAUCCAACAUCACAUCAAUGUUCCAACAUUUACCAUUGACACGCCAAAAUAUAACUGUUAUAUAAACGAACAUUUCUUUGGUUUUGUUAUACAUAGAUAAAACAGUUAUUUCAUAGUUAAGCAUGGUUGCAAAGCAUUUGCUUUUAAUAGCAGAAAAAAUAAUCAUAUAAUAAGGAACGUCGACCAAUAUUACAUUACCAAAACUUAGAACUCAUCAUAUUAUCUAAUUUAUCUGAAUCUUAUUGCCCUUUUAUAUUUUGUAAAACAAAAGUUUAAGAUGCAAGAACAAAUCUCUUUAAAAAUUAUAAGCAAUUAUAACAUAUGGUAAAAGUAACAAAAACUUUAUAAUUAUAUUAAGCAUGAAGACUCGUACAUAUUGAUUGAAUACAUAGUUCAAUACUGAAAAGAAAAAAAACUAAAAGCACCACAUAAUAGAUCCUUUCAGAAUUUAAAACGCAAAUUGAUACGAAGCUGACAGAUUUCGUAAAUUCCAUUCAUCUUUUUCAAACACGCAUACGACUAACAUAGAGAGUCUUGUUGAAGCCGGGAGCUGGAGCACCGAUCUUUAUCGUUUCACCCUGCUGAAUUCUUCAUGCAUCUACCAUCCUUUUCAACUGAAGCAAGAUUAUUAUGGGAGUAAUGGCUAUACCAGUGAGGAAUUGGUAGGAGAGCAAUGCUAGGAGUGGACGAUCUCCCAUGCUUGAAACAGGUAUGUUACGAAUUUGCUUGGAACAAUGGCAAAUCAAGCUGCUCACGCAACAUGGCUUAUAUAGUGCAAGCAUGGACAUGCGAAAGAGGGAGGGGUUUAAAUCUGCAUAGAGAAGCCGAACUGUUAUGUUUGGAAAAUGUAACAGAUGAUUGAAUUGAAUUGAAUGUCUUAAAUGCAAUGGAAUUUACAUGGCUCGGCUGAACUGAAGGGUUGAGGGUGGGAAACUUCAAUUUCAUAGUGCAAUGCUGAUUAAGAAAAACACUUAGUGGGAAAUAUGAAUUGCGGCUAUAAUGGGAAUUAAAUAACCAAGAAAUUAGUGUUAGGGGAAACUUCAGUUUUUCCUUUUCAUUACAUUGUAACUUACAAAAAAUAGUUAAUAACUACAAAAUGAGAAAUAUGAUUUGCGGCUUGUCAUACCUCAUAUUUGAUUCCGAGUCGGGCUCUCUUCUCUCAAUUAUUCUAUUUACUACUUCUAUUUUUUAAACUUCCAUCUUUUAUUAAUUUUCUUUUUAAUUCUAAAUUGAAUUUUAGUCCCUUGGUCUUAUUUAUCUUUUUAUUUUCCCAUAAAAAUCCAAAAAUAUACAUGUUCAUUCCUUUUUAUUAUUUUUUAAGUGAUAAGUCCAAAAGAAAAGUCCCAAACACAGCUCACAAACAGCUAAUCCCAGCCUGUAAUGUCUCCUCUCCAAGCAACAAAAUUUUGCUCUAUAAAUACAAGCAACCCAUAUCGCAACCAAAUCAAAUCCGUACAAAACCGAACCUCAUCAACAAACCUACACAGAUCCAGAUCAAGAAAAAAAAACAAUAAAAAGGUAGUAACCCUUUUUGUAGAUCUAGGGUCCGUUAAACCUCAUUUCAAAAAACCGUUUUCAAAAAAGAGAGGAGAAGGGAAAGGGUAAUCUUUUGGUAAAAAAAAUCAAAAAAAGGAGGAGUUUUUAACUCCGGCGCGGUGGCGCCGCCGCGAAAACUCGCCGACCACCGCGCCGGAACUAUCUCCGGUAGCCUCUCCUCGUCGAAGAAGAUGAAGAAAUUCUAGAGAGAAGGCAGAGCUUCUCUCUCUAGAAAUGAGAGAAGAGAGAGAAAAAGAAAUAAAAAUGAACAUAAAAAACCGGAGCUGGCUAUUUAUAAAGGGAUUGAACCGGUUCAACCUUUAAACCGGUCUGAACCAGUCUAAUCCAAGCCCACACGCGUCUGGCCUCACCCAAGGCCCAAAUCCUCUUCAUUUUAUUUUCUGCACCCCCCUUUACUGCUCACACACCCUCAGCAUCUCUUUUUUUUUUUUUAAUUUCUUUUUCAUGCAUUUUAAUUCUCUCUCUAUCCAGAUUGCUCUGGUCCUAUAUUAACUGUUAAUAUUAUAUUUUUGUUUAAUUUAAUUAUUCUCUAGAACAAUCUGGUCCUUGUUAAAAUGAACAUAAAAAAGAGAGAAGAGAGAGAAGAAGAAAUAAAAAUGAACAUAAAAAACCGAAGCUGGCUAUUUAUAAAGGGAUUGAACCGGUUCAACCUUUAAACCGGUCUGAACCAGUCUAAUCCAAGCUCACACGCGUCUGGCCUCACCCAAGGCCCAAAUCCUCUUCAUUUUAUUUUCUGCACCCCCCUUUACUACUCACACACCCCCAGCAUCUCAUUUUUUUUUUUAAUUUCUUUUUCAUGCAUUUUAAUUCUCUCUCUAUCCAGAGUGCUCUGGUCCUAUAUUAACUGUUAAUAUUAUAUUUUUGUUUAAUUUAAUUAUUCUCCAGAACAAUCUGGUCCUUGUUAAUUAAAUUAAUCCAGAGUGCUCUGGUCCUAAUUAACUGUUAAUAUUAUAUUUUUGUUUAAUUUAAUUAUUCUCCAGAACAAUCUGGUCCUUGUUAACUAAAUUAAUCCAGAACAAUCUGGUCCUUGUUAAUUAAAUUAAUCCAGAGUGCUCUGGUCCUAAAUUAACUGUUAAUAUUAUAUUUUUGUUAAUCCAGAGUGCUCUGGUCCAAACUUAAAAUGUUAAUAUUUAUUUAUUUUUGUUUAAUUUAAUUAUUCUCCAGAAUAUUCUGGUCCAUGUUAAAAUAACUUCACAAUUCAGCUUAACUUCAUUUUUCUCAUUCUGCUUAUAUAAUUUUCAUAUCUUUAUUCCAAAACAACAAAAAUAUUCAAAUAACAAAUCACAAAAAUAUUUUUUCAUUACAAACCUUGAUUCUCAAAUCAAGUGAUCGUUCUUUUUAUUCUUCUUAAUCAAAUUUCAAAUCAAGUCUAAUUCAACUUCAAGUCAAUUUCUUUCAAUCUAAAAAACACAAACCAAUUCUCAUUCGUCACUUGGCUUUUUAUUUCAAAACCUUUUUCAAAACAUAUAAAAAACACAAAACCAAUCAAACGUCAAUUUCUACCCCGAACUACGAGGUUUUGAUCCCUCACAGGUACGUAGGCAGGGGACCUUGUCCUUCCAAAUGAAUUAAAAAACAAUUUUCUUUUUUUUUCUUUUCAACUUUCAACUAAAAAAUAUUUUUCUUUUUUUCUCUUCAAUUAAAAUCAAUUUUCUUUUCUUUUUCAACUCAUCAUUCAAUUCCAUUUUCCAUCUCUUUAAAAGCAAGCAAGUUGUAGCACCAAAAGUUAAAUAAAAUCAAGAGGUUCUCGUAGAGUACUAUGAAUAUUUAGGGUGCUAAUACCUUCCCUAAAUAUAACCAACCCCCGAACCCUAAAUCUUUUCAAAAUGGAUGGUUUGGAACUUUUUCCCCUUAAAAAAAAAUUUGUUCAGUCGUGAGAUAAAAAGUGAGUCAAAAGUCAAUCAAAUGGCCUUGACGUCCGAAAAAUGGCGCGACACGGCUGUAAUGAGAAUUAAAUAAGCAAGAAAUUAGUGUUAGGAGCAACUUCAAAAAAUAGGAAAAAUUGAGCAAAGGACCUGAAACAACAUAAAGCUUUAAAAAAUAGGAAAAGAUAUUGAAAACAGACGUCGUAAUUGUGAGAAAAAAAUAAGCAUAUCACCUAUCAAGCAGUGAUAGGACAUCAGAGUUUCAAUACCACGACAUUCCAUUGCAAUGAUAGAAAAAUGGACGAGAUUGAAUUUUUUUAAGGCGUAUAGUUGUGAUAAAAAAUUACGGUAUCACUAGAAUCAAGAGGCGCUAAAGCUUUAAGUUGCGUAGGGAGCUUUAAUCAUGCGCAGGAGUCAAAUGUGUGAAUUAAAUGCGAUAGAAUAAAUUCUGAUCGAUUGAUUAGGAAAUGCUCUCAAAUUUGAAAUGAAGUGCUUUAAAUUAUUUAAUGUAUGAAAAACAAUUUGAAAUAAAAUGAAUUUAUUGCGUGUUAAAAGGGUGAGAAGGUCAAACCUGUGAAUUAACUGCGUGGGAGGGAAAUUGCUAGGUUAGAUUUAGGGUUAGGGUUAGCUUGACCAGACAAACUUUAGUAAGUAAGAUUUGAUUUUUUUUAUUCAUUACAUAAAUGAUAUAUUUGGUUUAUAUUUUAGACAAGAUACAUCAAUUACUUAAUGAAUCUAAAAAGUUAAAUUUUUCUUAUAAAUAAAACCGGAAGAAGUACCAUGAACAAUAACAAUCUUUCACAGUAAUAUGUUUAGUGCCACGUGAGUCCUGUAUUUUCUAUGUUCUUGUAGGACGUAAAAAGGUUCAAAACUUUGUUUGUUGAGAGAGAAAAUAUGUGUUCCCAUUUAUGGGACAUUCUGAGUAUGAUUGGUGUUAUUGUUUGAUAGUGGGGAGGAGUGAUUGUCUUCUAACUUCUAAGUUCUAACAAUUAGGUUAGGGUUAAAUAUAAAUAAAAUAAAAUAAAUUCAAAGGGGUGGUUGGAUGAUUGGGGUGUGGUAUCCUCAUGGGGGUUGCACGUGAUGUCUCAAAUCACUAACCCGUAAUUAGUAAUUAGUGUUCACAUGAUUGGGUGCAUAAACCAUAUAGAUUCAAUAAUCAUAUUUAUUAGGGUAUAAGUCUUUCUUUGAUGUUGUUUGUAAGAGUUGUACUUCUUCGUUCGUCAGUUUAAUGUACUUUAUCGAUGAAUUUUUAUAGAAAUAUCAUCCGUAAAUUUAAAAGGAGAGGUAAGAACGGAAUACACAUUAUAACGCAUUCAUCAUUUUUUUGGAAAAGCUUAAUAAUCAUCGUUACAAAUACAUAGUCUGAUGCAAAUUUAUACAUGAUUUCUCCCGAAGAAAUAUCUAUCUAUACUAUAUAGUGGCAAGAUAGAUAAAUACACCAUUAUAUCAACACACAACAUUAUUUUUAUUCAUGAAAUAUAUUACUGAGAAAGAGUACAUGGUGCAUGAAGAUAGAUAUCAUUAUGAUCAGUUUUGAGUUUUGUCCUCAGUUUGCUCGGCACCGUGACCACCGUGACCACCUCCACCAUGUCCCCCGUGUCCACCUCCACCGUGGUUGUAACCACCUCCACCGUGGUGGUAACUACCUCCUCCAUGGUUGUAACUACCUCCACCAUGGUUGUAACCACCACCAUAUUUGGCAUCAUUUACUUCAUUAGUCUUUUCCUCAGUUUGCACGGCAACAGAUUCAGCAGCACCAUGACCACCGUGACCUCCUCCACCAUUGUAACCACCUCCACCGUGACCUCCGUGGCCUCCACCACCAUUGUAACCACCUCCGCCAUGGUUGUAACCACCUCCACCGUGGUUGUAACCACCUCCGCCGUGGUUGUAACCACCACCAUUGUAACCUCCUCCACCAUGGUUGUAGCCACCUCCACCGUUGUUGUAACCACCACCACCAUGGUUGUAACCACCUCCACCGUUGUUGUAACCACCACCGCCGUGGUUAUAACCUCCACCAUUAUAACCACCACCACCGUGGUUGUAACCUCCACCAUAGCCUCCAUAUUUGGCAUCGUUUACUUCAUUAGUCUUUUCAACAACUUCUGAAACACGAUAUAUAUGAAUUGUUAAAUCAUUACUUCAAAUAUAUAUGAAUUUAAUGGUAGUGGGUUGACGAUAUAAAAUAACUUUGUAUACAAGACUAAUCAAAAUAUUUCAAGUUUCCCUGCAAAUUAAAAAAUAUUAAUUGAUGUGGUGAUUCUAAAUAUUUUCAAUGGUUUUGUGUGCAAAAAUUUUUUGAACCAUCAACCAACCACCAUUAAACUUAAUAUAUAUAUAUAUAUAUAUAUGAUUAUGUAUUCACACCGGCGUAAUGUUUGAAUAAUUUUACAUUUCUCACAAACUUAUUGAAUAUAGAAUUAUACCAAAUUUAAAAAGACUCACAAUUGAAUAUAUAAUAUAAUUAUAUCAUAUUGAUCAUCUUUGUAAGUUAUGAAGCAAAUUUGAAAUCAUUUUAUAUAAAAUUGAGUGCAUGAAGAUUAACGUUUACAUAGAAAAGAAUUAAUUAUAACGUAUAAAAUUAUAUAAUUAAGUAUAAAAGAAUUAUCCUUCAAAAAAGUAGAAAAGAAUUAAAACAUAUAUCUAAAACGCUCAUGAAAACAUAUAUAAAGAAACAUAAUAUAAUAUAUAGCUCACCCUUUUUAGUAUCAGUGGAAGUUUCAGUUAAGUCCCUAGCGGACAUCACUGAGGAAAUAAGAGCCAUAGCCAAUAGGCCUAGCAUGAGGAUUGCCUUUUUCGAAUCCAUUGUUCAAAUGUGAUAUUUAGUAGUGAACGAUGAGAAAAACUAGUAAGAAGUGUACUCUAUAUAUAAUGGAGGGAAGGAGGGAGAUGUAGGGACCUUCACUUGGCAGUUGAGAAGGUAGCUCUUGUGUAUUAAUUCAUUACUUUGUAGGUUCAUAAUGUAUCUAGUCAUAUUAUAGAUCAGAUACAUUUCAUCAGCAAUUAUAUUGAUGAAACUUCUUCUUGUUCUUGUUCUUGUCGAAUGAGUCUUCAACUAUUGCUUCAUCUUCACCUCUCAUCAGCAAUUCCAACGAGCCUUCCACUUUUUCUUCCUUUUGAAAAUUCAUGAAGUCUUUUUAUUUUUCUUCUCUCAAAUAUAUUCUUUUACUUUUCACUUGAGAUUUUUAACAAUUGCUACUCAUCUUAUUUAUAGAAUUUUAACUCUUCUUAGAACCAUUGUCUAUAACAAAAUUUUGUUUAAAUUUGAAGAUAAUGAGAAACAAACUUUGUUUAAUAAAAAACUUUGUUCCAAAGAGAUAGCAUUAAUUUAGUUUUAUUGAAAAAGAUAAGAGUAAUUGAUAAAGGAUAUAAUUGAAAAAUCGUACGCUUAAAAUACCAAAAAGACAGUUAAAUAGUAACGAAAAAUUCAUCCAAAAAAGACACUUAAAAAGAAACGGAGGGAAUAGUAUUUCAUAUCUUAUUUAUGUAUUAACAAAAAAUAUAAAAUUUUGAUAUUUUAAAAAUAUUCGACAAAUACAAAAAUAUCUUAUAUAUUAUCAUUUGCCUAUAUAAUAUACGAUAGUAAAAAAAAGAUGAUUAAAGUAUGUUAGGUAAAUAAUGCAUUUAGUCACUUGUUUUAGAAUAGAGUAGUUGUAAAGAUUGAAGGCUAUGAAAAUGGAGAUGAGUUAUGUCUACUUGCUAUUGGCUGAAAGUGACAUUUUGAAAGCAUGCUAUUGGUUCAUACUAGCUAUCUCAUCCCAUGGAGAUACAUACAUUCAAACUUAUCCAGACACAUUCAUAAUAUGUUUUCUAUAACUAAACAAAAUUAGCAAAAGAGUAUUACAGAGGUAGACUCUAAACUUUUUAAAGAACAGUGAUGUUGAAUACUUGUUUGAGAAAGUCGUGUGUAGGCAUAAUCAUUUAGACACAAAGUUUAGGCACAUACACAUAAAUAAAUAAAAUUAAAAGAUAAAUAAAAUAGUUACAUCAAUCAAUAUCACUUUAAUUAUUUUCUUUUUAAUGUUUUAUUUCAUAGGUGUGUGCCUAAAUGUGAGAUGUUGGUCUUGUGAUCAAGUUAGAGUUUCUCAACUAGCUUUUACCGUCGUAUAAUUUUAUUUGCUUCAAACGAUUACACAAAUUAAGAAAGAAUCUAUGUUUCUCAACUAUAUUAAGAAAACGAGUUGUUAGAACUAAAAUAUCGAAAUAUAAAAUAUGAAUAAAUGCUUUCUUAAUUCAAAGAGCAAUGAUAUCGAAACAUAAACUUUGCAAUUUGGUUAUUAGUUGAAUAUAAUCCGGAUGUACGAUCUUGGAUCGACGGCUGAGAUUAUUUUUCCGUGUAAAAUUAAUUUUAUAAUUUGAAUAAUUGAAUCACAAAUCAAUGGUCAAGAUUCACUACAUCGUAAAACUGCGUGUUGUUUUUCCAGCAUGGAAUUUGGGUCCCUAUACUCCGAUUCAUCACAAUAAUGAAAUAGAACUAUAAAUAACCUAUCGUUACAGAGGUAAACACAAUUGACUGAACUACAUGCAUGAACAAAAACCAAGUCUUAUUUUCACGUGAUUUUUGUUUCUUUCAUACCGGUUGUGGUUCUAAAACCUUCCUAAUUGAUUCUUACAUCCACCCUUAGCUAAGAUUCUUAUUUGGGACUUGGGAGUGUCACUCCGAAAGUGAUACUAUUAGAGGACACAAUUGAAAAAAUAUAUAUCAUACUGAAAAUUUAAUGUGACAAUUAUUUUACGAUAACUAUUUACAUAUAUGUCACUCAUCGUUUAACGAAAUAUGGUAAUGAUUUUUCUAAACACCAAACAUUUUGUUAUGACAAUAAUAUUUUAGUUUUUAUUAAAUAAGUAACUUUUUUUACAAAGGAAAACUUAGGUGAGUUGGACUCCAAGCAUUAAAAAUAUAGUUACAAAGCACACAUAACUAAAAGAUCUUUAUAUUAACAACGGAGAUUGAACUUACGAUGAUGUCAAUCAACUCAUUAACAACUGAAUCAACAUUCGCUAACGACCACGACCCACGCCUUCCCCUCCCUUACUGUUCAACUGAAGUACUAUGUUGAAUUAAAUUGCCAGCAACAAACGAUAACGAGACUCACCCACUUAUUCGAGUUUUCCUUUUCCUUCAAUUCUAACAAAAUUUAUGCAUUUAAAUAUUUAAUGUUUCUUUGUUUUUUCCUAUAGAUACAAAUUUGCGGGUAUGAGCAUUUAAUGUUAAGCAAAAAUAUCGCCAAAUAACAUUGCAAUUUGUGAAAAAUAUCAUGAUUAACGAUCUACUCGUCCAUGGAUUAACGGCGGUAACAUUGUUGCUGGCUCCAUUAUUAGUAAUUAGUUCUAUGGUCGACUCAAAUGAUCUAAACUGUAAACUUAACUUCAAAUGUUUGCUAGAACUGCAAGACAGAAAAAGAAAGAAAAGAAAAACAUAUGUAACGUGAAAAUUGAAAGUAAGUUCCAGAUUGUAUGAUAAAAAGUAGAGUUGUUUGGUAAAGCCUAUAAUUAGUACCAUUGUUUUAUCAUAAAUUUAUUUUGAGAUAUUUUUUUCUUUUUUGCAUAAUUUUAUUAAAAUUGAGGUGUUGUAAAUAUUUUUAUGAUCUCUUACAUUUAUUAACGGUGGAUCAUUUGGAAAACAUCAAAAUUUCAAUUAUAGCUGCAUAAUUUUUAGUUAGACUUUCUUUACUUCCUGACCAUCAGGGGUGGGAAUAGGUUAGGCCGAGUUAGGCUUUGCAAGGCCUGAGCCUGAUCUGUCAAAUUUUAUGAAGGACUAAGUCUGGUCUGCGGUCUGUCAUAAACUUACUUUUUAGGUCUGAGUCUAACCUUCUGAAAGUUUGAUACGGUCUGCUAGCCUGUUUAAAAGCAUAUUUCAUAUAAACAUCUUUAAAUAAGCAAUGUUAUCUAAGUUUAAAUAGACUAACGAACUAAUAUAUCAAAUAGAUUAAACUCUCUUUUGAUAAUCAACAUGACUUUUUAGAGAAUUUGAUUAUAUAUUGUAUCAUAUUUCAAUUCUACUUUAUAAUAAUACAUUUAAAUAUGCAAAAAUAUAAUGUAUACUAAUAAACUUAAAUUACUAAAUUACUGAAAAAGUUAACAAAUUUUUAUUUUAAUUCAAAGUACAAAAUAUAAUAUAAUAAUAAAUAAUAUUAUUCAUAUUUAGGCUUAAUUACCUUUUUGAUCCUCUAACUAUUUAGUUGGUAUCAGAUUGAUCCUCUAACUAAAAAUUGAUUUAUUUCGGUCCUCUAAGUUUCUCACUGUUAUUACAUUUAGUCAUUUCUGUUAGUUUUAUUCAAAUAAACGUUAGAGUUUGUGUUAUGUGGGUAUCUGACCUCCUGUUUCACACAUACAUAUGAACCAUAACAGUUACCAAUAAUAUCAGUCACUAUUUAAUCAUAAUACCUUAACAAUGAAUAUGACCAAAAUGAUACUAAUAAAUAAAGUUAGAGGACCCAUAUAACACAAACCCCAACGUUUAUUUGAAUAAAACUAACAGAAAGGACUAAAUAUAGUUAUAGUGAGAAACUUAGAGGACCGAAAUAAAUCAAUUUUUAGUUAGAGGACUAAUCCGAUACCAAUUAAAUAGUUAGAGGACCAAAAAGAUAAUUUAGCCUCAUAUUUACUUAAAUAGUCCGGCCUAAUAGGCCUAAAAGGCUUUUAGAAUGACAUGUGGUCUGACCUUUUAAGCUAAAUGGGCUUCUAAAAAAGUCUAGGCCUUCUCUGUUUAGGAAAAAAGUAUGAUCUGGCCUAGCCUAUCGUAUGUAUGCUAGGUCGUAGGCCCCUGUAGGCUGGCCUGACCUAUUCCCAUCCCUACUGACCAUACUCGGAUCACUAAGAUAUUUUUCUCACAAAGAUAGAGAUAUAAGACCGAAAAACACAAUUACGUACACUUAUUCGUAAAACAAUCUUACGUACACUUGUUUGUAAAAUGAGAUCAACCAUGAUAAUAAACAUGUUUUAAUUUCAUAAACAUAUUUAACAUUUUUUUUUAUCACAUCAUUAAACUAUCAUAUAUUAAUUUAUUUAUUUUUUCAUCUUUAUUUUUAAAGCAUACUCCUUUCGUUUUAAAAUAUAAGUAAAUUUUACUUUUUAGGUUCAUUUAAAUAAUGAUGUAUAUGGUUUAUAAUAUGGGUCACAUACAUCAUUAAUUGAAUGAAUUUAAAAAGUAAAAUUUACUUAUAUUUUGAAACGAAGGGAGUAUACAAAAGAUUUUCCAAAUGAGAUAGAAAGAUUUUUCUUUUCAAAUGAAUGAUUGAUCCCAUAUUUAGAGAAGGGGCUAGUUGUUUCCUAUGCAACUAACAAAAUAGACCACUCAUCUGAUAACAAGGAAGUGAGAAGAAUUCACAGAACACUUGGAUAGGUCAUUCAAAAAAAAAAAAAACUAGCAUAAGUCAUUUGGUGCCGCCAUUCAAUUAAUUCAUUUCAUACCGACACUUUGACAAUAUUGAGGCAUCAAAUGCAAUCGUUUUUUAUUUUAUUUUCUAUGAUUAAAAUCGACAUUGUUUUUUGGUGAGAUUCGCAAGUGGCAAGCCACGUAACUGUACAAGUUCAACAUGCAUUUGACUUUAGCAAAACAAAUUUCAAUCUUAGAUUAGAUCACGUGUUUGUUUUCAUUUGUUAGAAUCCAUUUUUCUAGUGUAGUAUCCGUUUAAGAGGAAAUGAAUUUUUAAAGUGAAAAUCUCUCUAACUUUUCUCAAUUGUUAUAUUAAAAUCAUUAAACAUGAAAGAGAAAAAGAGAUAUAAAAUUAUAAAAAAAAAAAUAUUAAACUUAUGUUUUAGAUGUAAUAAUUGAGAAAAAUUAAAACCGUUUCAAUUUUUUUUUUAAAUGGCCAAAUAUUAUUAACCACUAAUAAGCUUGGGUGGUAAAAAAUACAAAGAUUUAUUUCCACAUUAAGAUGGUUGUAGGUUUUUGGGUAAAAUAUGUUUUAAUCAGUCUAAAUAUAUGUGCUUUCAAUUUUAGUCUUACAUAAUUUUAAUAGUAAUUGUAAUUGGUCCUUCAUGUCAAAUGGGUUGCUAUUUGAGGCUUUGAGCUAAAGGAAUUUGAGGGAUUCUUCCAUGCUCACAAGACCAAAUCAAUAGUGAUUGGACAUAAACGCAAAAAGAUGGUCUUUAAAAUAUUCAAUAUUUAAUUAUUCUUUUGGUCCCUUAACUUAUUUUUUGGUUUCGUUUUGGUACCUUAACUAUUAAAAGUUUUAUUUUGGUCCCUUAACUUAUUUUUUGCUUUCGUUUUGGUCCCUUAACUAUUAAAAGUUUCAUUUUGGUCCUUUAACUUACUUUUUGGUUUUGUUUUGGUCCCUUAACUCAUCCUCUGUCAACCACUUUGGUCUUUUAUAUUAGGAUGAAUGUAUUAGAGUUAAGGGACCAAAAUGAAACCAAAAAAUAAGUUAAGGGACCAAAACGAAACCAAAAAGUAAGUUAAAGGACCAAAACGAAAUUUUUAAUAGUUAAGGGACCAAAAUGAAACCAAAAAAUAAGUUAUGGGACUGAAACGAAACUUUUAAUAAUUAAGGAACCAAAACGAAACAAAAAAAUAAGUUAAGGGAUCAAAAGAGUAAUUAAGCCUUUUUUUUUUUUAUCAAUUUCCUCUUUAUUAUUAAAAAACUAUUCUUUUUGUUUGUGUGUCAAACACUUUUUAUUUGGUCAUGUGACCAUAUUAAAAUUUCUCAAGGAAUCAUGACUAGAUACGCCUCGUGGACAUUUUGAUUGACGUACGGUGUUGACUCGUGAAUAAACAUUAGACUCAAUUGUUAUUUCAUAUAUGUAUCAUCGAAAUUUUAGAGACAUUGUUUUAAAACUUACUCUGAUUCAUCAAUUUAUACUUUUUUAAUUUAAACUAUCAUAUGUUUAUUUUAAAAAAAAAUCAUGAAAUAAAAAAAUUAAAAAAAAUAAAAACUCAUGACCAUAUUCUCGAAUCCCAAGUUCCCAAUUUCUUCUACCUAAUUCCAUGAAUAAUAUGAGUGUUUCACAUAUAUGAGUUUGAUUAAUUUUUCACAGUAUUGGGUGUGAGGAAUUUUUCAAGCACUACCGACAAAAGAAAUAGAGAUCACUUCGUCGUUACUUUGCACAACAAUGUCUUAAUCAUUCUAAAAAAACACUCUUCAUAUCUUUAAAUUUAGGCAUUUUCAUGGAAAAGUGAUGUUUGUCUUUAGAAAGUGUACUAAAUUGUCGUUAAGUAGUAAAAUUUAUAAGUUAGUAUCGAUGUAGAUUGUGAAAUCUCAAUUUAACUACUACGAUAAUAGUUUGGAUAUAUACAAUUGGGGGGUGUUUCACUUGGCAAUGGUUGGAUUAACUGUUCUUUAAAGAAAAAGGUAAGACACUGAUUAGGUCAUGAUAGAUCUGCUUCUCUUAAUUACAUAGAAACUUGCCGCCUUGGUUGCAAUUGUUCGAAUAGUUUAGUUUCACGACAUUUGAUCAAAAUAGUUAAGUUAAUUUUUAGUUCACUAACCUUUUUCUCUUGUUACGACCCCCUAAUGUCUUAUGUGAAACUAUAUCAAUUGAAGGCUUGAUUAUAUGCCAAAUUAUUAUCACAAAGCAGUUAGCUCAAGCCCCGAAGCUAAGGUUAGUGGUCAUCGAGACCAAAAUUAGUUUAUGAACAUUCAUAAUCGUAUAAAAAAGCAUUAAGAACAAUUAUAGCUGAAUAAAACCAAGCAAUCAUUUGUAAUCAAAAAACUUUUAUGGUUCGGAUUUUGGGAUAAGGGAGAGAGAGAAAGUGAAAAGUUUAAAUGUAAAACUGUAAAAUGCGGGGAAGGAUGAUUUUUCUUAUAUAUAUCAAAACGAUUCAGAUUAUAUAAUCUGAACCAGUUUUCGUAUUAUUUUAAAUUUCAAAAUCUGAAGGGUAGUUUUAGAAUUUUUAUAUGGUGCGUGGGUAUCUCAUAUUGUAGGAAAAGUAAUAGUCCUAAAAUAUUAUUGGUAGAAAAAUGUAUUGGGCCAUGGGAAAAAAGUUGGACUUUAGUGAAAAGAGUAAUAGAUUGUAAUCAAUUUAAAAAGUAUAUUUAUUUAUUAAUUAAUUAUUCGGUUCAACCGGUUUAAUUAGUUGAACCAUAAACCGGAGUCUUACUGGUUUAAUCUUCGGUUUGGUUUUAAAAACAUUAAUAUAUAUAAUAAUAAUAAUAAUAAUAAUAAUAAUUGUACCAAAAAAAAUAAAUAAUAAUAAUAAUAAUAAAAGUAGUUUGACGACCCAAGAUGACCAAAGACUGACAACACCACCAAAAAGAAUCAAACAAAAAAAACACCAACAUAAAAAAUAAAAAUAAAAACAUCCCAAUGACCCAAACCAAAAGCAGAAUGGACCAGGUCAACUACACCAAAGAGAAAGAAACAUAGGCACCCAGACAAGCCCCCCAAAGCACCCAUACAAGCCCCCCACAUAGCAACUACCGGCUCAAGUAGAGAAUUGCUUCCACCACUCACUCAUAGUGAGGGCAAGGCGAACCAAGGUGGGACUUAUAAAAAAAACCAAUAACACAAAGAGAACUGGGUCUUCAGAACCAAUUCCUCCACAUCUAGAAUCUUACCGACAAACACAAAAUCAUUAAUGUAACAUGUGUCACAUUGCGUGAAUGUUGUAAAUUUUAAGUACUAAUUUUGCUUUCUAUUCAUAAAAAUUGUGACCUUUAACCGAAAAAUUGUGAUAUAUUAAAAAUAUGUAUUAAGAACAGGGCUGACCCAAGCUAUAGGCAAAUUAGGCAUUUGCUUAAGGCCUUGAUUUUUUUUAUUUUUUUUUUACCUAUUAUGCAUGGUACCAAUUUUUUUUAGCGAAUCUCAUAUUUAUUUAUGGUGAUAAAAAAUUUAAGAGAAAUAAUACAAGUUGUCGAAUGAUAUAGCGAUUGAUUUGCUUAAUUUUAUAGAAAGACUUGGUUUUUUUCCAGAUGUGUAUAUUGGUUAUAGAAUAUAAUGUUAACAAUUCAUAUAAUUGUUGUGUCUGCAAAUUUGAAUUUGUUUUACUGUCGAUUCAAAAAGAAUUGUUAAACUAAACCGAUUACAAUAAUUUUGCAUCCAAAAAAAAUCGAAAUCACUUUGAAUAAAAAUAUUAUUUUUGUAAAAAAAAUAUAUAAUUAAUAAUUUCUUUUUUGUACAAACCAUGCUCCAUUUUAGAUUUCGCGUUGAGCAUCAAUAUGUGUUGGAACGGUCCUGAUUAAAAAAGUUUUAUGCUAUGUAUUUUUUUACCAGUGAAUUAUAGAAAUCUCAUCCAUAAAUUUAAAAAGAGAGGUAAUAAGACAAGAUAACACAUUCAUCAUUUUUUGGAAAAGCUUAUCAUCAUUACAAAUACAUAGUCUGAUGCAAAUUUAUACAUGAUUUCUCCCGAAGAAAUAUCUAUCUAUACUAUAUAGUGGCAAGAUAGAUAAAUACACCAUUAUAUCAACACACAACAUUAUUUUUAUUCAUGAAAUAUAUUACUGAGAAAGAGUGCAUGGUGCAUGAAGAUAGAUAUCAUUAUGAUCAGUUUUGAGUUUUGUCCUCAGUUUGCUCGGCACCGUGACCACCGUGACCACCUCCACCGUGUCCUCCGUGUCCACCUCCACCGUGGUUGUAACCACCUCCACCGUGGUGGUAACUACCUCCUCCAUGGUUGUAACUACCUCCACCAUGGUUGUAACUUCCACCAUGGUUGUAACUACCACCACCAUAUUUGGCAUCAUUUACUUCAUUAGUCUUUUCCUCAGUUUGCACGGCAACAGAUUCAGCAGCACCGUGACCACCAUGACCUCCUCCACCAUUGUAACCACCAUGACCUCCUCCACCAUUGUAACCACCGUGACCUCCGUGGCCUCCACCACCAUUGUAACCACCUCCACCAUGGUUGUAACCACCUCCACCGUUGUGGUAACCACCACCACCGUUGUGGUAACCACCACCGUGGUUAUAACCUCCACCAUUGUAACCACCACCGUGGUUAUAACCACCAUGGUUGUAGCCUCCAUAUUUGGCAUCGUUUACUUCAUUAGUCUUUUCAACAACUUCUGCAAACACAAUAUAUGAAUCAUUACUUUAUUUAUAAUUAACUAGAAAAGAAUUUAAAAAAUAUAGAAAAUGCUUGUGAAAGUAUUUAUAAAGAAAAAUAAUAUAUAGCUCACCCUUUUUGGCAUCAGUGGAAGUUUCAGUUAAUUCCCUAGCAGACAUCACUGAGGAAAUAAGAGCCAUAGCCAAGAGGCCUAGCAUGAGGAUUGCCUUUUUUGAAUCCAUUGUUCAAACUUUGUUCAAAUGUGAUAUUUAGUAGUGAACUAUGAUAAAACUAAGUAAGAAGUGUGCUCUAUAUAUAAUGGAGGAGUGAAGUAGGGGACCUUUACUUGGUAGUUGAGAUGGUAGCUAGUGUGUAUUAAUUCAUUACUUUUUAGAUUCACAAUGUAUCUAGUUUAUAUGAUAGGCUAUAUACAUCUUUUAUACAAUUAAUCAAAAAAAUGAAAUUUUAUUUAUAAUAGUGAUCGAAUAGUGUAUAUAUCUAUAAAUUUUAAACUAAAAUAGUUGUUUGAUGAUUUCGAUACCAUUUAUUUUGACUACUUCCUUCGAUCCAAAAUAAAUGAUCUUGUCGAUUGUUUUAAGCAUAUCAAUGCACAUCUUUGAUUUUUAAUACUCUCUUCAUCCUAGAUUAACUGAGUCAUUUGCUCAUUCACACAUAUUAAGAAAAAUGUAUAAAUGAAGGAGAUAAAAAAAUGAUUAUAAGUGUUUUUGUUAUGUAUUUGUGCAUUCUCCACUAUCAUAAAUGCAAAGUAUAAUAUAUUGAAUUGAAAGUGAUGAAAGUAGUAUUAAUUAGAAGAAAAAAUAAUUAAUAUUGUAUUGAAAAAUGAAAUGAAUCAAUUAUUUUAAGACAAUAUUUUUUUACAAAAAGUUCAGUCAUUAUGAGACGGAGGAAGUAUUAUUUAUUUAUGUAUUAACAAAAAAACAUAAAUAAAAAUUGAUAUUUUAAAAAUAUUCAUUGAGACAAAUAAAAAAAUAUCUUAUAUAUUAUCAUUUGUCUUUAUAUAAUAGUAAAAAAAAAAAAAAAAACUAAGUGAAUAAUAGACAUAGUCAAAUAAUUUCAUAAUUGAGAGAGUUGUAAAGAUCGAAGGCUAUGAAAAUGGUGAUGAGUUAGGUCUACUUGCUAUUGGCUGAAAGUGACGUUUUGAAAGCAUGCUAUUGGUUCGUACUAACUAUCUCAUCCCAUGGAGAUACAUACAUUCAAACUUAUCCAAACAAAUUCAAAAUAUGUUUUCUAUAACUAAACAAAAUUAGCAAAAGAGUAUUACAGAGGUACACUCGAAACUUUUUAAAGAACAGUGUUAUUGAAUACCACUCCUUUCAAUUAGAUACAUAUCACAUUUUAUUGAUGAUAUAAAUGUUUAUUAUAAAUAAGAUUAGAUGAAGUAGCCGUUAACAUCUUAUAAUUAUAUUUGCUUGAAAUGAUUACACAAAUUAAGAAACAAACUAUGUUUCUCAACUAUAGGUUCUUUAAUUACUCUAAAUAGUAAGAAAAACAUAAGUUUUUCUGAGGGAGUAGGAAAAACAUAAGUUAAAAGCUUAAUACAACUCAAAUUCCUAGAAUCCCUCGGCUAUGAGUGGAAAGCUUUCGUUUGGUGGAUUUGGAUCCUCUUUAUUGAAAAUUUUCUUCAAUUUUCUCCAUUUUCAAUCUUCACCAUUAAAAUACAACUACUAUUUGUUAGUAUAAUUUAAUUAUCACUUUCUCUCUCAUGAUUGAUGGUUGAGAUUUUACAUGAAAAAAUUUGAGAGAAUUUUCAAUGGAGAGAAUCCUAAUCCUCGUUUGGUUUGGUUUUUUUGGCUCAUAUAUUCAAACCAAGUAAGAAUAAUUCAUUUGUUUUGACUUGGAUUUUACAAAUUUUUUAUUAAAUCCAAAUGAAAGUUAAGUGAUUAAAAAUGGGCCAGCUUGCCUCAAAUAAUCACUCAAGUUGAUAUUUUAAAAUUUAAUAUUUUUUAUAAAUUUUAAAAAAUUAAGUUUUCUUUAAGAAUAUUAUAGAUUUUUUAACAUUAUUUUUUUUAUCAGAGGGAAAUAAAAGACACAAAAGAAAAAAAAAACUAAACAACUCAUUGUCUAAACACCCCAAAGACAUCAGCAAGCAAGUCCAGAUCCAACUCUUUAAGAGGGGAAUUGUAACACCCCGUUUUCCCAAUAUAAAAAUUUCAUAAAUUAAUCAGAGUAAAACACCUUAAACGGAAUAUUACACUUCUUUUCUUAAAAACAUAAAUGGAAUAAUUAUCCUUCAAAUUUCAACAACGUAUUGUCAUACCCCAAUUUUUGACCUAAGGCCCCACUGACACAUGUCACUUGACUCUGAUCGAUCUCUGAUUUUUCAGUGAAAAAAUUCGGCAGGGAGGUAUUUUAAAAUACCUUAUUUUUGAUUCCGAGUCGGACCCUCUUUUCUCUUUUUAUUUUCUUUCUAUCUUUUAUUAAUUUUAAUUUUAAGAUUAGUUACUUUUUUAUAUUUAAUAAUUUUUAUUUUCCAUCUUUUAAUUUUAUUUUUCUUUACAUAAUUUAGUUUAAUUUGUUUUUAUUUUAUUUCGUAUUAGAUUUAUUUUAUUUUUAUUUUUCUUUUUAAUUAAUUAGUGUCCAAAAAAAAAAAACAAAGUGUCAAUAGGUCCAAAAUAAAAUGUACAAGGUCUAAAAAAAUUCAAGUCAAGUGUCAACUUUAACAUUUCUUUUUCAAAAUUCACCAUAAUUGUCCAUCAUUUUCAUUAAACCAAUUUUCCAUUUUUCAUCAACCUCCUCACCUAUAAAUAGAGCCCUCAUUCCACACAAUUUCACACACCAAAAGUUCUCUUGAGUUGUCAAAGAACUUUUCUCUCUUCUCCCUCUUUAGCUUGUGUUGACGAGCUAUUCUUUUCUUCUCCCUCUUUUUUCUGUCCCUUCGGAAUAAGUCCCUUCGGUAAUUUUUGUCCCUUCGGUUGUCAAUUUCUUUUAUUUUCUUGAAUUUUAUUUCUUUUUAGUAUUUUUGCAUUUUUUUUUAUUUCUAUUUAGCAUUUUAAUUAUUUUUAUUUAUUUUCCAGCAAUUAGAAUGUAUUUAGGUCCAAUGUAAAUAUAAAUGAGAAAAGUGUGUGGGUGUGUGUGUCCUUUUAUUUCUUUACCGCCUUAUAUAUAUCCAAAAUUGCAAAAAAAAAAAUAGAUCAGGGAUUUUGUGGUGAUCCAACGUCACUACAAAAAUCCACGCGCUUUUAUUUUUAUUGCUCCGUUAGUUUAAUUUUUAUUUAAUAUUCCAAAAAAACAACAAAAAACAUGCAAAUAAUCAAAAUCACAAAAAUAUUUUCAUAAUAAACCUUGAUCCAAAUCAAGUGACCGCAUUUUUAUUUUCUUUUCUCCAUCAAACUUCAAUCAAUUUAACUUUACUUUUAAGUCUCUUUUUUCAAUAUUAAAAAACACAAACAAAUACUCAUUUGCCACUUGGCUUUUCAUUUUAAAACCUUUUUCAAAACUAAUAAAAAACACUCAACAAAUCAAACGUCAAUUUCUACCCCGAACUACGAGGUUUUGAUCCCUCACGGGUACGUAGGCAGAGGACCAUGUCCUUCCAAAUCAAUAAAAAAUGUAGAUAAUUAGGUCUUUAUUUUUAUCAGUUUAAUUCAUUCUUUUCAAAAAUAAUAAGCAAGUUAUAGCACAUUAAUUAAAUAAAAUCAAGAGGUUCUCGUAGAGUACUACGAAUAUUUAGGGUGCUAAUACCUUCCCUAAAUAUAACCAACCCCCGAACCCUAAAUCUCUCAAUAUGGGGUGUUUUGAACUUUUUUCACCUUUUUCUUAAAAAAUAAAAUGUUCAGUCGUGAAAUAAUUAGCGAGUCAAAAGCUAAUCAAAUAGCCUUGAUCUCCGAAAAAUGACGCGACAGAAAUGGCGACUUCACUGAUGAUGCCCUAAGAGGGUUGAGCCUAACUUGGCUUUAUUUAAUUAUUUGUGCUAUAACUUGCUUAAAACAAAAAAUAAAAAUGAUGGAAAUACUUGUAUAUUUGUUCUCUCUUCUUCUUUCUUCUUUCUUCUUUCUUAAACGUGAGUGGUGAGAUAAGUUCUACACCCGGACUUGAGAGAAAUAUAAGAUAGGAGUGGUAGACUCAUAGUGGCAUACCGGGAGUAUACUCGUGUCUAGUCACAUGUGAGAUAACCACACUUAGCGGAGGAGCUUGAAGUGAUAUAUGUCGGCGUGUGUUUUCACGUUUAGACUUUAUUACUCUUAAGUUUCCAAUGAAGCUAAGGACCUUUAGUAACCCUUAACCCAUCCUGGCCUUUUAGGACGUAGUGCGGUGGCUAACCGGAUGUUUUCUCGAAACUAGUCGACACGCGAUACUACACUCAAAUGAGACUUUCCUACGAACGUUGUUGGACCGGGUGUUUUCUCGAUAUCCGAUAAUAUUCGGAAGUAGUCGAGGACUUUGGGAACUUGGUAGAACCCGUGAUACAGGUACAUUUGAAACCAUAGUCCCUACCAAAUGGCGUUGUUAUCCUUAAGCUCCAACAUUAUGGACUUAACCUCACCAUGCAUUCCAUGUUCCUUAGCAUAAUCAUGCAUACAUGCAUUCAUUCAUAAAACUUUUGUUCUUCUCACUAAUAUCGAAGGACUUAGAUAAGUUCUUGUAAACAUCAAUGAUAUGGACCUUGUAAGAAGGAACACCUACAACUUCAAAAACCUUAACUAAGCUUUAGCUUUUGUUAAGAAUUUUUUCCUUGGUUUCGUUCUUACUUUUGAAAUGGGAACCAAUUGCAACAUCUUCACAAUUUUCAAAUAAAACAAUGUUCCUUAUCAAGUUUACAAUUACUUUGACAAGUCCUUCAAAAAAAACAAAUGUGUCUAUUUUUGCAUAAGCAUAGCAUGCAUACAUAAUUUCAAGUCUGAGUCUUACACUGUGUCUUUUCUACUAAAGGUCAAUCCAUCUCAAAGGUGUCCCAACUGUCCUCGUCCAAAGUCAACUCGCACCUACAACACUCGGGCAAACAAAAAAAGAGAACGUAUCAGUUUGAACAAGAAAUCCACGAGCAUUCGUGAAGAGGUAACAACACUAUUGACGUUCCUUCCGCUACUUUUUGUUCAAUUAAUGUUUGUUUGUUGAUUUUCGCUUUUCAAAAAAAAAAAAAAAAAACAUCCUUUCGUCCCGCCUGAGAUGAAAUUGAUCUUGUGUAGGGCUUUUUGCUUUAAGUAUUGGUCAUCUUUAAUAAAAAGGUCGUUUUAAUCCCGACUUUAUUUUAUUUUGUGCUUUUUCUGAAAAAUGGUAAUACAAAAAACCAAAAAGAAUUUCUUUAAUCAUUCGCAUAUAUCUGCAUAAUCAUAGCUUGUACUUACUUGUCAAAAUCAAUAAUCAAAUCAUGCAUUAAUAAACCCGUUGAACAUAAUAACCAUGUACUCUCUCCCAACUUUGAGUUCUCUGUGACCGAAGAUAAGGAAGAGGAGAAUGAAGAGGCUCCCAGCAAGAUCUCUCGCCCACUGAGGCAUCUUAGCCGUCAAAGCUGCAAACAAAAUAUCAAAGAAGAUUGUCCAAAAAAAUUGCUUUCAUUUACAAAGACUGGCACGAGAUGCUACCACUUGCACUUCAUGAGUAUUGUCCGGUAGUACACACUUCAACAGGGGCAACCCCCUCCUUCCCUCAAGUAUAUAACUUAAAGGUCGUGCUUCCUAUGGAGGUCGAAGUCCCAUCAAUAGGAGUUCUGCUGGAGUCCCAACUUGAUCGAACUAAAAUGUGUGACGACCUUGUGCAUCUAUAUCAAAAAGAGGUUUGAAACAAACUUCCAACAAGAAGGUUUGUCCCCGUGAAACUCAAGAAAGAGACUUUGUGCUCAAAAAGAUACUAUCUUUCCAACCAGACUCCAGGAGCAAGUGGACGCCUAACUAUGAAGGCUCAUGUGCAAUGAAUUUUACAACUAUGGAUGGUGACAAACUUGCACUUCCUAUGAAUGUCGGUGUAGUCAAGAAAUACUCUGUCAAAUAUAAAAGCUCGAUAAGUCGCAAACCUGAAAAGGCGGCUUAGGCAAAAAUGAGCGUCUCGGUGGACUGAAAACCCAAAAGGGUGGUCCAGGCAAAAGUUAGAGACAUGAACAAAAAAGAUUAUCCUGAUAGACCGCAAACCCGAAAAAACGAUCUAUGCAAAAGUUAAGGAUCAAAAGACAAAGUAACUGCAUCCGGUCAGGCACAGUCCACUUGGGGCAUCCAGCUAUCAAAAGACCGCCGAUACGAAGCAUCUGCAGAUCAAAGACUCGAAACAGGGGCAUUCAAAGUUGUUAGGGAGAAUAGCUGUUAUUGUUUUCAAUGUACCAUCCCAUACAUUUACCAUUUUCCAAAUCUUUCAAAGAUCCGUGGAGCCAUGCCAUUGGUAGGUCACCACUCAAUUCAUCAAAUUUGAUCCUAUGCCUAUUUGUUUGGAACUCUCAUUUAUUCUAUUUGCAAAAUUUCUUCUACUUUUUAUGGCAAUACUUAAAGCAAAAAUUUUCAAAAAAAAAAAUACAAAAACUUUUUUUUACAUCUUUUGAAAAGUGUGAACAACAAACACACUCUCUUUGAACUCAUGAGUAGAUGAAGCAUACAUCAACAUCCGCCUCGAAGACGGUUACAUUCCGAAAGAGAAACAUGGCUAAGCGUUAUGGAAAGAACCUCUGCCUUGAACAAGAUGUUGUCACAGUCAAAAAAAAUAUAUACAAAAAAAAAAAUACAAAAAAAUCAAAGCUCGCUAAGUUGAAAACCUGAAAAGGUGGCUUAAGCAAUAGAGAGCGUCCCGGUGGACUGAAAACCCGAAAGGGCGGUCCAGGAAAAAAUUAGGGGCACAAAAAAGAAUAUAAUCCCGGUGGACUGAAAAUCUGAAAGGACGGUCCAGGCAAAAGUUAGAGAUUUUUUUUUAAAAAAAUGACUGCUGAAACAUACCAAUGGAGGAACACUCUGUGCCAGUUCACAAAUGGCGACUUCUUCCAGACUUUUUAUCAACGAUGGGCUUUACCCCCAGGAGGCAUCAGUUGCUCCUUGUGUCGGGUCUUACACCGUCAACGGCUCGUUUUGUUCACAAUAAUAUCAUCUCCAAUGAAGUUUGCCGAGUGCUUGUGCUGCGAUAUCAGUUCGCCUCCAAUCUUACAUGUCCUGUCUCGUUUCAUCGAGUCACUUGUCACAUAGAGUUUAUAUAGUCAUGCAAGUUGUACAUUCAUAACAUUUGUACAUUCAUAAAAUUCGUACAUUCAUACAUUGAUGCAUACACCAUAUAUAUAUACAACAUCAUUCACACAUGAUUGCAUUAGUCACCGAGAGUCUUGUUUAGCCGUGUCUCUUUGGUUAAUCCUGACCCAAACAGCAAGUGGCAGUUUCUUCAUAUGAACAGCUUGCAAUUACAAAUUCUUUUCCUCUCAAAAGUGUCAUCCCCAAUAUAACUGACCAAGUUGUCUUCUCUAAAUUUACCUUUGUUAAGCUAUCUUUGUGUGAUAUUUAGGUAAAACUUGUCAAUCGUCUUUAUUAAGUUAUCAUUUCAUCGAUAGUUAGACGAUGUUUUUCUCUCAUUCUUACCUUUGUUAAGCUAUCUCAUCGAUAGUUAGGUAAAAGUUAUCAGUCGUCUUUUUAAAGCUAUCAUUUCAUCGAUAGUUAGACGAUGUUUUUCUCUCAUUCUUACCUUUUUUAAGCUAUCUCAUCGAUAGUUAGGUAAAAGUAUCAUUUGUCUUUGUUAAGCUAUCAUUUCAUCGGUAGUUAGACGAUGGUUUUUCUUUCAUUCUUACCUUUGUUAAGCUAUCUCAUCGAUAGUUAGGUAAAAGUAUCAUUUGUCUUUGUUAAGCUAUCAUUUCAACGGUAGUUAGACGGUGGUUUUUCUCUCAUUCUUACCUUUGUUAAGCUAUCUCGUCGAUAGUUAGGUAAAAGUAUCAUUUGUCUUUGUUAAGCUAUCAUUUCAACGGUAGUUAGACGGUGGUUUUUCUCUCAUUCUUACCUUUGUUAAACUAUCUCAUCGAUAGUUAGGUAAAAGUAUCAUUUGUCUUUGUUAAGCUAUCAUUUCAACGGUAGUUAGACGGUGGUUUUUCUCUCAUUCUUACCUUUGUUAAGCUAUCUCAUCGAUAGUUAGGUAAAAGUAUCAUUUGUCUUUGUUAAGCUAUCAUUUCAACGGUAGUUAGACGAUGGUUUUUCUCUCAUUCUUACCUUUGUUAAGCUAUCUCAUCGAUAGUUAGGUAAAAGUAUCAUUUGUCUUUGUUAAGCUAUCAUUUCAACGAUAGUUAGACGAUGGUUUUUCUCUCAUUCUUACCUUUGUUAAGAUAUCUCAUCGAUAGUUAGGUAAAAGUAUCAUUUGUCUUUGUUAAGCUAUCAUUUCAACGAUAGUUAGACGAUGGUUUUUCUCUCAUUCUUACGUUUGUUAAGCUAUCUCGUCGAUAGUUAGGUAAAAAUAUCAAUCGUCUCUGUUAACCUAUCAAUACGAUAGUAGACAAUAAUUUUCCCCAGUGAAACUUCAUUCCCCUAGCAGAGUCGGACCCCUUUUUUCUUCAACGAAUUCGGGUAUCCCGUUGUUAUUUCUCAUUCGAGUCAAAUCAUCCUGCAUUCAUAAAUUGCAUCACAUGCAUCCAUAGCAUCUUAGGUCAAAUAUUGUGUACUUUGUAUUUAAGUCUCUUCGACUCGUCAAAUCAAAGAUUUCAUCUUCAAAUCUCCGGACGAAGAAACUUAAAUAGGGGCAUCUGUCAUACCCCAAUUUUUGACCUAAGGCCUCACGGACACAUGUCACUUGACUCUGAUCGAUCUCUGAUUUUUCAGUGAAAAAAUUCGGCAGGGAGGUAUUUUAAAAUACCUCAUUUUUGAUUCCGAGUCGGACCCUCUUUUCUCUUUUUAUUUUCUUUCCAUCUUUUAUUAAUUUUAAUUUUAAGAUUAGUUACUUUUUUUAUAUUUAAUAAUUUUUAUUUUUCAUCUUUUAAUUUUAUUUUUCUUUACAUAAUUUAGUUUAAUUUGUUUUUAUUUUAUUUCGUAUUAGAUUUAUUUUUAUUUUAUUUUUAUUUUUCUUUUUAAUUAAUUAGUGUCCAAAAAAAAAAACAAAGUGUCAAUAGGUCCAAAAUAAAAUGUACAAGGUCUAAAAAAAUUCAAGUCAAGUGUCAACUUUAACAUUCCUUUUUCAAAAUUCACCAUAAUUGUCCAUCAUUUCCAUUAAAUCAAUUUUCCAUUUUUCAUCAACCUCCUCACCUAUAAAUAGAGCCCUCAUUCCACACAAUUUCACACACCAAAAGUUCUCUUGAGUUGUCAAAGAACUUUUCUCUCUUCUCCCUCUUUAGCUUGUGUUGACGAGCUAUUCUUUUCUUCUCCCUCUUUUUUCUGUCCCUUCGGAAUAAGUCCCUUCGGUAAUUUUUGUCCAUUCGGUUGUCAAUUUCUUUUAUUUUCUUGAAUUUUAUUUCUUUUUAGUAUUUUUGCAUUUUUUUUUAUUUCUAUUUAGCAUUUUAAUUAUUUUUAUUUAUUUUCCAGCAAUUAGAAUGUAUUUAGGUCCAAUGUAAAUAUAAAUGAGAAAAGUGUGUGGGUGUGUGUGUCCUUUUAUUUCUUUACCGCCUUAUAUAUAUCCAAAAAUGCAAAAAAAAAAAAAUUAGAUUAGGGAUUUUGUGGUGAUCCAACGUCACUACAAAAAUCCACGCGCAUUUAUUUUUAUUGCUCCGUUAGUUUAAUUUUUAUUUAAUAUUCCAAAAAAACAACAAGAAAACAUGCAAAUAAUCAAAAUCACAAAAAUAUUUUCAUAAUAAACCUUGAUCCAAAUCAAGUGACCGCAUUUUUAUUUUCUUUUCUCCAUCAAACUUCAAUCAAUUUAACUUUACUUUUAAGUCUCUUUUUUCAAUAUUAAAAAACACAAACAAAUACUCAUUUGCCACUUGGCUUUUCAUUUUAAAACCUUUUUCAAAACUAAUAAAAAACACUCAACAAAUCAAACGUCAAUUUCUACCCCGAACUACGAGGUUUUGAUCCCUCACGGGUACGUAGGCAGAGGACCAUGUCCUUCCAAAUCAAUAAAAAAUGUAGAUAAUUAGGUCUUUAUUUUUAUCAGUUUAAUUCAUUCUUUUCAAAAAUAAUAAGCAAGUUAUAGCAUAUUAAUUAAAUAAAAUCAAGAGGUUCUCGUAGAGUACUACGAAUAUUUAGGGUGCUAAUACCUUCCCUAAAUAUAACCAACCCCUGUCAUACCCCAAUUUUGGACCGUUUAAAAACUCUUGUCCGUAUUUUAAAUUUGUUCACAUUCCCAUUUAUUCGUUGUUUUUUACCAUUUAAAGUUCGUAUUUCUUGUCUUUAGUCAUUCAAAAAAGUUUUUUUACGUUAAAUCAACGUUCGCGUUUCACAACGUUUAAAACCGUCUCACUUUCAUUUUUACGUCGCAUAGUCUUUUUUUUAAUCGUAACGAUCACGUCAAAAAAAGAGAAGGCCUAAUCGCUUUUUUUAAAAGGCGUUUUUUCUUAUUAAUCAUUUCAAUCGAAAUUUCGGCAGGGAGGAUACUUUGAAAUACCUCAUGUCAGAUUCCGAAGGGACUUUUUAUUUUUAUUUUUUUGUCUUUUUUAGUUUGUUUAUUAUUAUUUUAUUUUAUUAUUAUUAUUUUUUUUAUAAAAAAAAACAAAACAAAGAAAAGAAGAAGACAUACGUCUUCCCUUUCUUCUUUUUCUUUUUCUUUUCUUUUUCUUUUUAUUCAUUCUUUUUAUUUUUAUUUAUUUAUUUGUUAAGCCUUUGUCCCCAAGUCUCAGCUGCAGGGGCAUUUUGGUCAUUUGUUUGUACCAGAGCCAACCCUAAUUUGUCACUAUAAAAGCCUGUCAAUCAUUGGGAAAUGGGCCAGAGAAAAAAUUACUGUUCAUGAGUCAGAGAAAAACACUAUUCACGUCAGAAAAAGUCAGUCAACAGCAAUCAUACUCACAAACAAUCUCCAAACUUCUCUCUCCAAAAUUUUGGAUCAAAAACCCAAAAUUUCAUGAACUCACAUGAACCACAUCAAGAACACAUGAACCUCAAUCAUUUUCAGAAACACACAAUAACAACAUAAACACCUCAAACCAUUCAUACAACCACAAAUCAUCAUCAUUCCAAACAAAACAAAUCCGAACCAAAACAGAGCCAAACGAACCGGAGUAGAGGAGAGCCAACCGAACCGGAAAAGAACCGGAGCCGAACCGGAAACAAGGAAGAACACGCGAACCGGAAGAAGGAAGAAAAGGAGAGAACCGGACUCAAACUAGGAGGAAAGGAAACCGGAAAAAGAGGUAAAAAUUUCACGUUUUUCAUUUGUAGAUCUAGGAUUUUUGGUGUAUGUUUUCGAAAUUUUGAGCUUGGAUUUGUGUAGAGGAAGGGAAGAGGAGUAUUUUGAUGUAAAAAAAAAUUUCAAAAAAAGCAAAAAAAACUCCGGCGCGGCGGCGCUCCGGCCGACCGCCGCGCCGGAGCAGCUCCGGCCGCCCCUCUUCUUCUUCUCCGGCCGCGUGUGUUUUUGUGGGAGGGGAGAGCUUCUCUCUCUAAGUUGUAACUUAGAGAGAGAAAGUUUUUGUGUUAUAUUUGUUUUUUUGGUAAAACCCCUUUAUAUAGCCUCAUUACUUUAUUUUAAUUCCAUGCGUAUCGUUCCACUGUAUUAUCGUGUAUGAUCACAGCUAGACCGUCAGAUUGUAGAUCUAACGGUCGAUGAUGCAGCUUGUUUUUGGUUAAGUGUUUGUUCUUUUGGGUGGAAUAUUGUGUGCCUGCUGUUGAACCGUCAGAUCGUUGAUCUGACGGUCACUGUGCUUCCAGUAUAUCCUUCCUUUCUUGCUGUUUAUUUUUAAACCGUUGGAUCUUAGAUCCAAUGGCUAUGAUGAAUCCAGGGGUUUGAACUUGGACCAUUGAUUUAAUCCAAUGGUUCAGAAUUAAUCCUGCUGAGCCAAUUUGUUUAUUAUUUUCAUUUGUUAUUGUUUCUAUUUUUUAAAUGCUGUUUUUUUUUAUUUCUUUUUGACAUUUUAUGUUUAGAAAAAAAUUCCAAAAAAAUGUUUUUUUCUCACUAUUUUAAUUUUCUAUCAUUGUUAAAAAUCCAUCCUAUUUUUUUCUUUUAAUUUGUUUUUUUUUACUUAUUAUUUAUUAUUUCUUAUAUGAUGAUCUUAAAUGUUUUUUUUUAUUAUUUUUAUUUCUUGCUUAUUAUUUCUUAUGUCUCAUUCAUCAUAAUAUUUCUUGUGAUCACUAACCAUUUAAUUUUUGUCUUAGAUCAUAGCAUGCAUAUUAAAUUUUCUCAUCAUUUUAUCUUGUCAUUGGAUUAGUAUGUAUAAAUAGGGAAUUGAUGUAAUUUUAUUUCUUGCAUUUUAUUUUGGCAUAAAGGCCUUAGGGUUGUAUUUAGGAAUUGAUGUAAUAAUGUAGGUAACACAAGCACCGACACAUACACCGACACUACCACAUUUUAUUUACCGCUUUCCGUUAUUUUUUUUUUACGACGUUACGUUAGUUCUCACUGUUAGUUUAGAAAAAAUCAUUUUCACAAAAAAAUCAAAUAUGUCAAAUUCAAAAAUAUUUUUUCUUAGCAACAUUUUCCCUUUAUUUUCUUAAUCAAAUUUUUAAUCAAUUUUAAUUCAACUUCAAUCAUUUUCAAAAAUUUAAAAUCAAUCAACCUCACUCAUUUCUUUUAUCUCAUGCCUUGAGGCCUCUUUCUCUUCUUAAAACCAUUUUCAAAAAUCUUAAAAUCAACCUAACCCACCAAAGAAAUUUUUGAGUGGAACUACGUCGGUUUUGAUCCCUUUCUCAAAAGGGUACGUAGGCAGAGGACUCGUCCUUCCAAAUCAAAUAAAAAUAAACCAAAAACAUACUUCUUCUCCCUCCAUUCUUUCACUUAGACAUUAGGCAAUAAUUUUUCAAAUGAACAAGUAUUUUAGCACAAGAUAAUCUAGGUAAGAGGUUCCUACGGAAUACCGUAGAUGCUUAGGAUGCUAGCACCUUCCCUUCGCAUAACCAACCCCCGAAUCCAAAGUCUCGAAAAGGGUUUUUACUCAUUUUUUCCCUUCCCAAGAAUAAAAAUCGAGAGUUCAAAGAUUGACGAUUCAAAUCAAUUAAUGGUUUGAUAUCCAAAAAUCGCGAGCACAGAAAUGGCGACUUACCCCCGAACCCUAAAUCUCUCAAUAUGGGGUGUUUUGAACUUUUUUCACCUUUUUCUUAAAAAAUAAAAUGUUCAGUCGUGAAAUAAUUAGCGAGUCAAAAAUCUAAUCAAAUAGCCUUGAUCUCUGAAAAAUGACGCGACACGUAUUAAUCAAAACUUUGUAGCAGAAUUAAUUCAACGACAAUAAAAGCUCUAACAACAUGUUUCAAAAUUGAUACAUAAAGGAAUGAUAAACAUCGUAACAAUUUCCCAUCCUGUUACGUAUCAGAGCCCUAAGACACUUGAGCCACCUCUCCUACUAAGCUUCAUUACCUGCAAGUUACCCAUACGAAGGGCAACAUUUUCAAGCAGAAGGGGUGAGAUCUCUCAAACAAUAAUAAUAAGCAUAUAAUUCAUCAAUUACAGUUAACAACAUAGACAUCAUCAAAUCCACCCAAUAAUAAUUUUUCUUAACAUCCCCUUAGUACUCAUGAAUAGAAGACAACUUAGCCACUAUGCAUCAACGUUAUCAAUUCAUAACAAUAAUUAUUCAUCAACCAUCUCAUUAGCAAAACAUGAAUAAGGAACAACUUAUCAACUUAACAUAAUCAUCAUUAAGUACAUUUAACAACUCAUAGAUAACAUCAUGUAACAUCAAAACAGCCUCUCAUUCAACACUAUAAACAAUCAUCAUAACAUCGUCAUAAUCAUCAACAUAAACAACGUAAGAGUACACCACCUCUUAUAAACAACAACGUAAGAGUACACCAUCUCUUAUAAAACGACCAAGUAAGAGUACACCACCUCUUAUAAAAAAAACGACAAAGUAAGAGUACACCACCUCUUAUAAAACGACCAAGUAAGAGUACACCACCUCUUAUAAAAAAAAACGACAAAGUAAGAGUACACCACUUCUUAUAAAACGACCAAGUAAGAGUAGUACACCACCUCUUAUAAACAACAAUGUAAGAGUACACCACCUCUUAUAAACAACAAUGUAAGAGUACACCACCUCUUAUAAAACACCUGACAUAAACAAUCACCAACGAUGGCUACAACUACGACAUCAACAACAACACCAACGAUGAUGACAACAUCGACAAUUUGCAUAACAUACUUAUGACUUAUUCGGCAACGUACAACCCAACAACGCUUACAACUUAUACCAACAUUAGAUCUUCAUGAUAUUAAUAUGUCACAACCGCAAGACAACACCAUUAAAUAAUAUGCAGCAAGUCAACAUUAAUAAUAAUCAUCAUAUAUAACAAUUACAAUUUCAUAUCAACGUCUUUCACAAUAUAUAAAUAUUUUCACAUUUAAUCAUCAAAGUAAAUCAUCAUUAUUAAUCAUCUUGUUCAUCCUCUCUGAACCUCAUUAUAAUCAUUAACAACUUCAUUCCAACCCCAAGGGUCGACUCACAACAUAAGUUACAUACUCUUAAACACCCUAAUUGAACUCAUAGUACUUCUAGUUUUGAGCUUUGGAAUUAUCCCAUAAGUUUUGGAUUAACUUAGAAACGGUUAUACUGAAUUUUCAUAAGAUUUCACUAAGACCUCCUUGGAGUAUUUUCAUCAUAUCUCAAAAACAAAAAAUCAUUUUCAAGUGAAACCAAAGCCAUUGGAAAGCUAACAAAAUUAUCUACAACUUUCAUGUUUACACCAAAGGUCAACUCAAAACAGAAACGUGUGAAAAAGACGGAAGAACAUGAAACAGGGUAAGCAUCAGACAUACUGAAAUUUACAGAUUUUCUGUCAAAAUCGCCUCACGAUCACUGGGAUCGCCUCACGAUUUUGACAGCAUCAUACAUGCUGAUAUUACAGAUUUUUCUGCGAUUUUCUACCAUGGGAGCCUCCUUGACUCCGUUUUUUAACCCUAAACUCUCCAAAAUCAUCCAUAAUCAUCACCAUAUGAUUACCCUAUCAUUGAAACGUUAAUCCAUCACUAACCUACCCGAUUAACCACUCUUUUCACCGUUCCAUUAUAUGGUUUCUACACUUUUCAUUCAAAAGUCAAUAAUCAAAACCUAAUCCCAAUUCUCAAAUUUAACCACAACCCCUUGCUAAAUCAAAAUCAGAAUUAUACAAACUAUAAUCAUUGAGAGUUAGCCUCACCCUUACCUUAGAUUGAUGAACAAAGCUCUACACGAUCUUCUCUUGGAUACUAUUGGCUCCCUCUUGGUUUUUCUCCCAAAAAGCUGCUUCCACGUGAAAAUGUUUUCUGACUUCCCUCUUUUCUUUUCUAAACCUAAUUCAACUUCUUCUAUUUCCGCUUAAUCCCACACAACUCUCCUUAUUUCUAAAUCAGCCCCUUGAACUCCAAAUAUUCUAAAUUCCCACUUAUUCUAUUAAAUAGUAAAAUAACACAUUUAAUAAAAUAUAACACACCACAUAAUCAACAAUAAUUAUUUAAAAUCAUAUAUAAAAAGACUUUAAAUCAACCAAUAAUAAUUAAAUAAAAUUGGGUCGUUACAGGAAUCCCAUAACUUCGUGACGUCGACAUUCUUUACACUUAAUUAUCAAUCAAUCAACACAUUAGAUGUCUUCUCUUAAAGUAUGAUUAAAGAAAACCAACCAAAAAAGACAAAUGGACUUCCUAAUGAGGGAAUAUAAGUUGCAUGAGGAUGGAAAUCCUUAUGAUGGAAAUCAGUGAUCAAGUCUAACGCUGACUUAGUUAUUCUUAUACUAUUAAAAUAAGUAUACAGUUACAAUGAAAAAAGAUAAAAUAUAAUGACUAAAAAAUACAUGAAAUUAACAUAUUUGUAAUAUAAAACUAUUAAUAGGGCAUGAUAUUUAACAAUAAGGAAAAAUCAAUCCUUCAACUUCCGGAUAAACUUAAGUUGUUUUCUUUUUGGUGGUUGAAGGCAAAUUUAUAUGCUAAUUUUAUUUUAGGUUAUCAUAGUUGAUGGAUUUUCUCUUUUGUUUGCUUGGGUAAUGGUUAAUUUCUUUAUGUUUUGUUUUGAUAGGAAAAUGUUUGUUUUGGUAGUAAUAUGUUUUAUUUUUCCUUGUUUAAAAAGAGAUAUAGUAUGAAAUAUAAAUAAUUAGUGAUAAAAUAUAAUAUUUUGGUUCGAUUUACAGGUGAUUUGUUUUAAAUGAUCUGAAAACGAUAUUCAAACAAUAGUGAUCAAAUUUGAUUAGUGUGUGUGAUUCAGGUUAUACAUACAUGAGCAUAAAAAACACCAAUUUAGUUUAUUUGCAUUGAAUGUUUGCAUUCUACGAGUUAUUGGUUUGAUUCUUACACCUCAUCAUAAACAAUAUAGCAUAUAAUAUUUAUUUAUUUUCCUCUUUGUAUUAAAGGGUAUACAAAACAUUUUUCAAAUGAGAUAACAAGAUUUUAGUUUUCAAAUGAAUGGUUGAUUCCAUAUUUAGAGAAGGGGCUAGUUGUUGCCCAUGUAAUUAAUAACACAAGGAAGUGAGAAGAAUUCACAG